ACGGAUCUAGACCUGAAGACGGUGGUAGUAUGUUGUUGUUUCAGUUGAGCCGGUGCUCGGUGCAUGGCAUUGUUGCUGUGUUGUUCUUUGGUUCUUGCUGUCGUUGCGUCCUGUGUUAGUGCCGGGAUCGAUAAUAACAAUAGUGGUAGUGGCAGCGAAGUGAACCAGUGAUGGUUUGUGGUAGGCCUGGAUGGAUGGGUAUAAUAGUAUGGUAGUAGUAUAAUGGCAGUAUAUGCAGAUCGAACUACUUAUAUUUUUCAUCUGGGCUCCCCGGUUGAUUCUGUCCUCGUGCGAGCUUGCAUUCAUUCAUUCAUUUUUCCUGCAUUGCUAGUACUAUCUUGGAUUGAUUUCUUGAUCGUUCAGGUCUGAAUGGUUGAUCGCUGUACUUUAAAAAGUGCUCUUCAGAUCUGAACAUUUUCAGCAGUGGGCGGUGCUCCUGGAUGAAGAGAAGACGACUGUCGUCCGUACGGGGCGUCGUGCAGCUAGGGAGGGGAGGGAGCUUUUGUCACGGAACAUCAUCGUAAUCGAGGACGUGAAGGAUUCGAGGAACACACUCCAGUUUGUACUCCGGUGCAACUGAGGCGCUGGAUGGAGCAAAAGCUCGUUGGAUACUUGGAUUCCGUCUCAAUGCAGCGACUCUUCUACAGUCUCCCCCACGAAGACGUAGUAUAAAUUUCCCGUGAAACGCUGAAGAAAUACCAGUAUACAUAUUCAUCUUUGUUUGUAGAUAUUCUGGAACCUGAAGCUCGAAAGAGUUUACGAGCAGAAAAGCUCACCUCAUUCAUUUCAUUUCAAGCUCACUCCUGCCUGCCCUCUACUACCAACCGGAGUCCACGGCUACAGCCAGUAGAGUGUACUCCAGCAUUCACGUCGCAGUUAUGGACGAUCAUAGGAUCCUCUGCUGAAAGCUGUCGCGACCGACGGGCUGGCAAUCACUCCAGCUUUCGCCUGCUUUCCGCUUUCCGGAGCAGGCGCAUCAAUUUUGAACAGCCCUGGAGCCACUGCCAAAUGUUACCGUUCAAACCUGAAAGUGCUGCGUGCCUCGCACCUGCAUUGCACGUACUACCUGCGCAUCAGAGAUCACGGCGAUCUCCGUGCUAGUCCUCCCGCUCGCCUUGUUACCAGUGAUCGUUGCGGUGGUGGUACUGGUUUGAAUCGUGGCGCACGCGGCGGUUGGUUUCGCUUUUGAACAAACCGUGGUGGUGGUGCGGUGCUGAAAAGAAGCGGAGCUCUCUGGAGAAAAGGCACGUGACCGGAUCGGAGCUUUUUCGGAGGCGAAAUGCAGCCGUUGCGUUACGUGGUCCGUACUACUGCAGCACAGCUUCAAGAUCCAACAACUACGCAGAGAGGAGUAGGUUAGAUCGAUCACCGUAGCAAAGAUCAUGUGCUUGGAUCAGGCGUGACGGGAACCUUUUCCCCUCCGCUUUCUCGCUUCUCACAGUCACGUGGGCGGUGCAUGCAUCGGCGAUGGACAAACUCUAGAGGGAGGCCGCACACGAUCUCGUGGCCACAUCCGCGUCGAAGGACGGGCUCGUAUUGUGUUGUGUGGAACACAGGGUGUUUUGUUUUGCACGGUGCAUGGCAGCAUGGGUCCUGCACUCUGUCUAUUACUCCCUCCAUUCCAAAAUAUAGUGCGCCCGCGCUUCCCGAGGUCCAACUUUGACCAUAAAUUUAACCAACGAGACCGACUGCGGCGGGAGAAAAAAUUAUAUAAUUGAAAACUUCUUUUGAAUAUGAAUUCACUGGUAUAACUUUUGCUCCUGCCGCAGUCGGUCUCGUUGGUUAAAUUUAUGGUCAAAGUUGAAGCGCGGGAAUAGAGGAAGCACUAUAUUUUGGAACGGAGGGAGUAUUAUACUUUGUGCACGUUGCACUUUUCUCUAGCUAAUUACUUUUGCCCCUCCGUUCUUCGAGCGAUUUGUCACGGAACUUUACGGUGUCAACGGCAAGAACAGGCUAGCUGGUGAAGGUCGUGCCCGAAAAGAUGGAGCCAGCAGACCUAAACAAGUCGUAGUAGCACUAGAAAGAAGCAGGAUGGAAUGUUGACUUCAAAGGCCAUCUCGCAUCGUGGACCCUUAAACCACCCACAAUUAUCCGGAUCAUUCAGUCGCGUGGUCCGAAAGUGUUUAGCAAUCCAACGCGGGUUGGUAUCGGUCCGUAGGUCGGUCUAGACGUGCUUUCUCUCGAAAACCGGAGACAACUUUGCGGGCGUUCAGGCCUGCCAUACCCGCUCCUAACUACUCUUGCCUACCAAAAAACCCUCCCGCAGCCGCACACUUUCCCGCCUGAAGCCAGCUGUCCACGUCACCGCUCUAGAGCGGCCGAUCCGCAUUGACGCCGAUCUAGAAUAGACGUGACCGCUCGCAUAUAGGAGUAGGUUAGAUCGAUUCACCCUAAUGUGGUAAUGCCCGCUGUAGCAAGAUCAUGUGCCUAUAUCGGGUGUGAUGAAAACCUUUCCCCAUCUGCUUACGCACUCAGGGUGGGAACGGGUCGACCCGGACCUGGCCUUGGACCCGGCCCCGUUGGCCUCGAGGCCAAUUUUAGAGGCCACGGGUCGACCCAAUUCAAAAAAGUCAAUGGCCUCGCCGGCCCGAUGGGUACUUCGGGUCGACCCAAAUUUUAUUUUCUUAUACAAUAUUUGGUUGUGGUUACACAUAGAAUAUUCUCAAAAAUAUGUUAUUAAAAGUAAAAAAAAAUUAUGACCUAAACAUGCAUGAUUGAAAUAAUUAAAGUUUACAAAUGAACCACAAUAUACAAUUUCAGCUCUUUACACGUCCGGUUUAUAAAGGAGGAUUGGGUUAAUGGAUUCCAGUACGUGUACAAAUGUUAGCUAGUUGAUGUUUCGGCUAAUUAGUAUACUGUAAUUAGCUGAUCGCUAGUUGUCGUAUAACGGUAUAAGCUAAGCUAAAGAUGAAUUUGGUGAUACCAAUGGACUCCAGUACUCGGAGAUGGGUCGGCCCUGCUGGCCCAAUGGGUCACUUAGUGCCGGCUCUACUGGCCCGAUUUUUGUACAAGGCCGACCCGACUGACCCAUCGGCUUUGUUUUCUUGGGUCGGGCCAAAGACCCGAUGGGUCGCCCCGGCCCAUUCCCACCUUGAUUACGCACUUCCUACUUCUCAGUCAUGUAAUGAACACUAGUAAGAGCAUCUCUAAUAGAAACACGGUAGCGCGGCAUGUUAAAAAAAACUGCAGCGUUGAAAUAGUGUUUUAGCCCGUGUGGGAGGAUGGUUGCUUUUCCAGGCUCUGCAAAAUUUAGCUGGAGCAGACGCCGAAACUUUUCCAGGCAUAAAAUACCCAACGCGCGAGCGGGCACACCAAAUAUCCAGCGCGCAAUGCAGUUUUUCAUAGCGCGCUGAACCUUGUUUACCGCGCACGGGAUUAUAGCGCGACUGCUGAAGCGCUACUCCCAACGGUGCACAUGGCUAUAUACCCUUUUUUCUGGUGCACGGCUUAUCUAGCGCAUAUGUUGAAGAUGCUCUAAAGAAGUGAUUAUGGACAAACUGGGGAGAUAGUCACAGGAUCUCGUCUUGUGGCCGGUGGGUCGGGUCCGACAUGGGCGUCGGUUGGGUCUAAUAUGGCGGACGUGGCCGAACACACUUGGGUGCUCCCAUAUCCGUCCCAUAUUUGAGUUGAAUAUGUAAGGUAUCGAUUAGCCCGGACGUUUAAAAACCGUUUAAAAGAUUUGUCUAGGUCAAAAAAUUGUGACCGGACAGCUCGCCCGGACGUAUGAAGCUGACCAUCGACAAACUCGGGAGGCAGCACAUGAUCUCGUCUUGCGGGCGGUGGGCCGGCGAGCGCUCGCCUCGAAACAUCAACAUCUGCAUCGAAGGACUAUAUUGCGUGGAACACAGAGUGUAUUGCAUGGUUUGAGUACGGGUUUACCCUUUUUUCCAAUUCAUUACUAUUGCCCCUCCAUUGUUCGAGCAAUUUGUCACGAAACUUUACGGUGUCGACGGCAAGGGCAAACUAACCGGUGAAGUUCGUGCCCAAAAGAUGGAGCCAAUAGACCUAAGCAAGUCGUAGUAGCACUAGAAAAAGAAACACGGAUGGAAUGUUGACUGUAAGCGAAAGUCAUGUUCUGCACGAGAGCUCAUUUGAGCUCGCGAUGAACAGUAUAAUCAUAAAUGAAUAAAUCCGAGUUUCUUUUAUGAUAGACUUUGACAAAUGUUUCAAGUGCUUAUAAAAUUUCAGCGUGAAGUCACAUUCGUGGAAGUAGUGCAAAAGAAAAAUCAGGACCUCAAAAUGCUUUAAAAAAUAACACUUUUGGGGCAUUGAUAUUUUUUUUCCACGAGUUCCACAAAUGUGAUUCUUUGAUUAAUAUUUGUAAGCACUAAAAACUUUUAUCAAUGCAAUUUUUUUUGGAAUUUAUUGUUCACUGAGCUCAAGCUCAAAAAUUAUGUUUCCGACUGUAAACCAUUAUCUGAACUGGUUUGCCUACUGAGCUCCAUGCCCAACAUGGUUAAUUCAUGGAUGUGAAUUACUUCCAUUUUUAGAAUUCGAUUUUCGUUUCUCUACUUUUAUUAAAAAGACUCAGUUGAUGAUGAUGAUGUGUCUGUCAUCCGUCAUUUCUGACCCUUAGAUCUGUAUCUAACGACUGUGAGAUAAGCUGUGUUUUUUUGCAAUAAUAGUCCACUUCUCUGCUCCAGCUUGCAGAAAACCCUCAUUAUCUUGAAACCAACCACAUCCCUCCCUCACCUCAUCAAAACAGCUCAAGGAAUAUAUUUUGAGUGAAACAUAAUAUAUUUUAGUGAUAUAUGUAUAUCAAAACUAGAGUGUUUUCUUUUAAGUUUGUGAAUAAGUACUAUUCUACUUUAAACCCGUUGCAACACACAGGCACAUUGCUAGUAAGUAUAAAAAAACUAUGUCUACGCAGCGUACAAAUAUUAAUAGUUCGAUGAAGUCAGCUCAACACUAGAGUGGUGGCAAAUCAUUGUGCAGAAGGCCCAUUUGAGUUGCAUGGCAAGUGUGUUAAUUUAGUUUCAUACAACUAGUGAAGUGGAAGAAACAUUAAUAUAAAAUGUGAGAUGUUCUACCACUCCUUGUAGUAUGAGAAAAGAGGGCAAUAAUGUGCGCGCUUACUCAUUCACUUUACGCCAUGCCACACAACACAAUGCAUGUCACGUUUUCUGAAUCAAAUUCGAAUUCGGGCUAAUGUUAUGUGCCAGUAAAAUUUUAAAAUUUUGCUCGGCAGUGUGAUAACCCACAUGUAUAGGGGAUCACAACAAUUUUUGAUGGUAGAGUAUUCAACCGAAAUUUAUUGAUUUGACACAAGGGGAGCCAAAGAAUAUUUUUAAGUAUUAGCAGUUCAGUUGUCAAUUCAAUCACACCUGGAGAUUUAAUGUCUGCAGCGAAGUGAUCAGUAGCACAGUAGUAUGAUAGUUUGAUAGUAGUACUAACGAUAUCAGUGGUAACGGUAACAAUAGUGUCAAUAAUUUUGUAGCAGUUGUAACAAUAGUAGCAACAAUAGUAACUUAGCAAAAACAAUAAGUGAAAAGCUCGUAGUCAUUGAAUCGGUGAUAACGUUGGAUAAUAUUCAUCAUAUAAUAGUCAUAACCUAGGGCAACACAGAACUAGCUCGAGUUCAUAAAUAUAAUGUAGGCAUGUAUUCCGCAAAAAGUCAUAUGUGCGUAUGGAAAAGAACUUGCAUGAUAUCUUUUGUCCUACACUCCCGUGGCAGCGGGGUUUAUAAGGAAACUAAGGGAUAUUAAGGCCUUCUUUUAAUAGAGAACCGGAACAAAGCAUUAACACAUAUUGAAUACAUAAACUACUCAAAUUACGGCAAUCACUGGAAAUAAUCCCAAUUAUUGUCACCUUGGGGAAUGUGGAUCGUGACACGUAAUAGGUGCAUAUAAUUUGCAAGAUUGGAUCAAGAACAUAGAUAUAAUGAUGAAAAUAUAAAUGGUUCAGAUCUGAAAUCAUGACACUCGAGCAUUAAGCAUAGCAAAGUCAUAACAAUAUCAAUAUCAGCACAUAGUGGAUACUAGGGAUCAAGCCCUAACAAAACUAACUCGAUUACAUGAUGAAUCUCAUCCAACCCACCACCGUCUAGCAAGCCGACGAAGGAAUUGCUCACUACCGGCGGUGAGCAUUAUGAAAUUGGUGACGGAGGAUGGUUGAUGAUGACGAAGACGGAAGGACCCCAUCUCCGGAGCCCAGAAUGGACUCUAGAUCUGGCCUACCGAUGAAGAACAGAAGGUGGCGACGGCUCUGUAUCGUAAAACAUGAUGAAACUUCCUCACCUAUUUUUUUCUUCAAAAUUAGGAUUUUAUAGAGUUGGAAUUAGAGUCAACGGAGCCUUGUGGGCCCCACUACCCACCAGGGUGCACCAGAGGGGGUGGUGCACCCUGGUGCCUAGUGGACAGCCGGGCCCCCCCUUCCAGUGGGUCUUGGUUCCAAUAAUUUUUAUAUAUUCCGAAAAAAUUCUCCAAAAACUUUUAUCCAAUUCCAAGAAUUUCUAUUUAUGCACAAAAAUGACAUCAUGGUAGUUCUACUGAAAACAACAUCAGUCCGAGUUAGUUUCAUUCAAAUCAUGCAAAUUAGAGUCCAAAUCAAGAGCAGAAGUGUUAGGAAAAGUAGAAACGACGAAGACGUAUCACAGUGCACUACCUAGUUCUGGAUAUACCUAUCAAUACUUGAGUUCAUUUUGGACAUGUUUCUACCCUUAGAGUGCUUCCAUAACUUGUCAGUUUCAUCUCUUCACUCUCCCCAAGCAUCCGUCUAUGUAGAGGAGAUACAAGGAGAGGCUACGCAUUGCACAACACAAAAACACACACAUGCCGAGUUCCUCUUUAUUGAGAUGCUUUUGGGGCUACUCCAUUCCGAUGACUGCAUUCACAACCGUCCGAGAGAGCAGGCCUCCAAAAUCACGUCCCUUGAGAACCUACACCUAGUGAUGGAUGAUGUCUACUACACAACCCUCUUCUUGUAGACAUUGUUGGCUCUCCAGGUGCAGAGGUUUAUAGGACAGUGGCAAAUUUCCCUCAAGUGGAUGGCCUAAGGUUUAUCAAUCCGUGGGAGGCGUAGAAUGAAGAUGGUCUCUCUCAAGCAACCCUGCAACCAAAUAACAAAUAGUCUCUUGUGUCCCCAACACAUCCAAUACAAUGGUAAAUUGUAUAGGUGCACUAGUUUGGCGAAGAGAUGGUGAUACAAGUGCAAUAUGGAUUGUAGAUGUAGGUUUUUGUAAUCUGAAAAUAUAAAAACAGCAAGGUAACUAAUGAUAAAAAUGAGCAUAAACAGUAUUGCAAUGCGUUGAAACAAGGCCUAAGGUUCAUACUUCCACUAGUGCAAGUUCUCUCAAGAAUAAUAACAUAAUUGGAUCAUAUAACUAUCCCUCAACAUGCAACAAAGAGUCACUCCAAAGUCACUAAUAGAGGAGAACAAACGAAGAGAUUAUGAUAGGGUACGAAACCACCUCAAAGUUAUCCUUUCUGAUCGAUCUAUUCAAGAGUCCGUAGUAAAAUAACAUGAAGCUAUUCUUUCCGUUCAAUCUAUCAUAGAGUUCGUACUAGAAUAACACCUUAAGACACAAAUCAACCAAAACCCUAAUGUCACCUAGAUACUCCAAUGUCACCUCAAGUAUCCGUGGGUAUGAUUAUACAAUAUGCAUCACACAAUCUCAGAUUCAUCUAUUCAAACCAACAGAAAGUACUUCAAAGAGUGCCCCAAAGUUUCUACCGGAGAGUCAAGACAAAAACGUGUGCCAACCCCUAUGCAUAGGUUCAUGGGCGGAACCCGCAAGUUGAUCACCAAAACAUACAUCAAGUGGAUCAGUAGAAUACCCCAUUGUCACCACGGGUAUCCCACGCAAGACAUACAUCAAGUGUUCUCAAAUCCUUAAAGACUCAGUCUGAUAAGAUAACUUCAAAGGGAAAACUCAAUCCAUUACAAGAGAGUAGAGGGGGAGAAACAUCAUAAGAUCCAACUAUAAUAGCAAAGCUCGCGAUACAUCAAGAUCGUAUCACCUCAAGAACACGAGAGAGAGAGAGAGAGAGAGAGAGAUCAAACACAGAACUACUGGUACAUACCCUCAGCUCCGAGGGUGAACUACUCCAUCCUCGUCAUGGAGAGCGCUGGGAUGAUGAAGAUGGCAACUGGUGAGGGUUCCCCCCUCCGGCAGGGUGCCGGAACAGGGUCCCGAUUGGUUUUUGGUGGCUACAGAGGCUUCCGGCAGCAGAACUCCCGAUCUAUUCUGCUCCCCGAAGUUUUUAGGGUAUAUGUGUAUAUAUAGGAGGAAGAAGUACUUCGGUGGAUCUCCGGGCUAUCCACGAUGCAGGGGGCGCGCGCAGGGGGUUGGGCGCCCCCCCACCCUCGUGCGCAGCCCGGGACUCUCCUGGUCCAUCUCCGAUACUCCGUGGGCUUCUUCUGGUCCAAAAAUAAGUUCCGUGAAGUUUCAGGUCAAUUGGACUCUAUUUGAUUUUCCUUUUCUGCGAUACUCUAAAACAAGGAAAAAACAAAAACUGGCACUGGGCUCUAGGUUAAUAGGUUAGUCCCAAAAAUCAUAUAAAAUAGCAUAUAAAUGCAUAUAAAACAUCCAAGGUUGAUAAUAUAAUAGGAUGGAACAAUCAAAAAUUAUAGAUACGUUGGAGACGUAUCAGCAUCCCCAAGCUUAAUUCCUGCUCGUCCUCGAGUAGGUAAAUGAUAAAAACAGAAUUUUUGAUGUGGAAUGCUACCUAACAUAUAUAUAUCCAUGUAGUUCUCUUUAUUGUGGCAAGAAUAUUCAAAUCCAUAAGAUUCAAGACAAAAGUUUAAUAUUGACAUAAAAAUAAUAAUACUUCAAGCAUACUAACUAAGCAAUCAUGUCUUCUCAAAAUAACAUGGCCAAAGAAAGCCAUCCCUACAAAAUCAUAUAGUCUGGCUAUGCUCUAUCUUCAUCACAUAAAAUAUUUAAAUCAUGCACAACCCCGAUGACAAGCCAAGCAAUGUUUCAUACUUUUGGUGUUCUCAAACUUUUUCAAUCAUCACGCAAUACAUGAGCGUAAGCCAUGGAUAUAUCACUAUAUGUGGAAUAGAAGGGUGGUUGUGGAGAAGACAAAAAGGAGAAGAUAGUCUCACAUCAACUAGGCGUAUCAACGGGCUAUGGAGAUGCCCAUCAAUAGAUAUCAAUAUGAUUGAGUAGGGAUUGCUAUGCAACGGAUGCACUAGAGCUAUAAGUAUAUGAAAGCUCAACAAAAGAAACUAAGUGAGUGUGCAUCCAACUUGCUUGCUCACGAAGAUCUAGGGCAUUUUGAGGAAGCACAUCAUUGGAAUAUACAAGCACUACAAAAAAAGACACAUCCAGGACAGAAACUUUGGCUGUAGUGCAUGAAUUUUAAUUUUUUACUGGAACAUCAAAUGGUUCUGAUUCUUUUUGCACUGUCUUGAUGUACAAUUUUUUUAUUGUUCCUAAUUUUGGCAGAAUUUUUAAAGUAUCCUAAGUAUGGUGAAUGUUCAAAUUGCUACAGACUGUUCUGUUUUAGACAGAUUCUGUUUUUGAUGCAUAGUUUGCUUGUUUUGAUGAAACUAUCAGUUUAUAUCAGUGGAUUAAGCCAUGAAAAAGUUAUAUUACAGUAGACACAAUGCAAAAACAAAAUAUGAAUUGGUUUGCAAUAGUACUUAGAGUAGUUAUUUGCUUUAUUAUACUAAUGGAUCUUACCGAGUUUUCUGUUGAAGUUUUGUGUGGAUGAGGUGUUCGAUGACUGAGAAGGUCUCGAUGUGAGAAGAAGGAAGAGAGGAAAGAGCUCAAGCUUGGGGAUGCCUGAGGCACCCCAAGUAAAUAUUCAAGGAGACUCAAGUGUCUAAGCUUGGGGAUGUUGGGGAGGCAUCCCCUCUUUCUUCAACAAAUAUCGGUAUGUUUUCGAAUUCGUUUCGUUCAUGCGAUAUGUGCAAGUCUUGGAGCGUCUUUUGCAUUUAGUUUUCAUUUUUCUUUUAUGCACCAUGCUGGUACGAGAUAGUCCUUGGUUGAUUUAUAGAAUGCUCUUUGCACUUCACUUAUAACUUUUGAGUAUGGAUUUAUAGAAUGCUCCAUGUGCUUCACUUAUAUCAUUUGAAGUUUGGAUUGCCUGUUUCUCUUUACAUAGACAACCGCCAUUUGUAGAAUGCUCUUUUGCUUCACUUAUAUCUGUUAGAGCAUGGGAAUAUCUUUUUUAGAAAGAAUUAAACUCUCUUGCUUCACUUAUAUCUGUUUAGAGAGAUGACAGGAAUUGGUCAUUCACAUGGUUAGUCAUAAAAUCCUACAUAAAACUUGUAGAUCACUGAAUAUGAUAUGUUUGAUUCCUUGCAAUAGUUUUGCGAUAUAAAGAUGGUGAUAUUAGAGUCAUGCUAGUGGGUAGUUGUGGAUUGUAGAAAUACUUGUGUUGAGGUUUGUGAUUCCCGUAGCAUGCACGUAUGGUGAACCGUUAUGUAACGAAGUCGGAGCAUGAUUUAUUUAUUGAUUGUCUUCCUUAUGAGAGGCGGUCAGGGACGAGCGAUGGUCUUUUCCUACCAAUCUAUCCCCCUAGGAGCAUGCACGUAGUACUUUGUUUCGAUGACUAAUAGAUUUUUGCAAUAAGUAUGUGAUUUCUUUAUGACUAAUGUUGAGUCCAUGGAUUAUACGCACUCUCACCCUUCCACCAUUGCUAGCCUCUCUAGUACUGCGCAACUUUCGCCGGUACCAUAAACCCACCAUAUACCUUCCUCAAAACAGCCACCAUACCUACCUAUCAUGGCAUUUCCAUAGCCAUUCCGAGAUAUAUUGCCAUGCAACUUUCAUCAUCAUCAUAUACAUGACUUGAGCAUUCAUUGUCAUAUUACUUUGCAUGAUCGUAAGAUAGCUAGCAUGAUGUUUUCAUGGCUUGUCCGUUUUUUGAUGUCAUUGCUAUGCUAGAUCAUUGCACAUCCCGGUACACCGCCGGAGGCAUUCAUAUAGAGUCAUAUCUUUGUUCUAGAUAUCGAGUUGUAAUAUUGAGUUGUAAGUAACUAAAAGUGUGAUGAUCAUCAUUAUUAGAACAUUGUCCCAUGUGAGGUUAUCAAAAUAAAAGUGGCCAAAGAAUACCCCCAAAAGAGAGAGAGAGAGAGAGGCCAAAGAAGCCUACAAAAAAAGAAAAAAAAGAAAAAAAAAGAGAGAAAAAGAGAGAAAAAGAGAGAAGGGGCAAUGUUAAUAUACUUUUACCACACUUGUGCUUCAAAGUAGCACCAUGUUCUUCAUAUAGAGAGUCUCUUGAGUCAUCACUUUCAUAUACUAGUGGGAAUUUAUUAUAGAACUUGGCUUGUAUAUUCCAACGAUGGGCUUCCUCAAAUGCCCCAGGUCUUCAUGAGCAAGCAAGUUGGAUGCACACCCACUUAGUUUCAGUUUGAGCUUUCAUAUACUUAUAGCUCUGGUGCAUCCGUUGCAUGGCAAUCCCUACUCCUCACAUUGAUAUCUAUUAAUGGGCAUCUCCAUAGCCCGUUGAUACGCCUAGUUGAUGUGAAACUAUCUUCUCCUUUUUGUCUCCUCCACCCAUCAUAUUCUAUUCCACCUAUAGUGCUAUGUCCAUGGCUCACGCUCAUGUAUUGCGUGAAAGUUGAAAAGGUUUGAGAAUGUCAAAAGUAUGAAACAAUUGCUUGGCUUGUCAUCGGGGUUGUGCAUGAUGUGAGUAUUUUGUGUGGUGAAGAUGGAGCAUAGCCAGACUAUAUGAUUUUGUAGGGAUAACUUUCUUUGGCCUUGUUAUUUUGAAAAGACAUGAUUGCUUUAUUAGUGGGCUUGAAGUAUUAUUGUUUUUAUGUCAAAUGAUAGACUAUUGCUUUGAAUCACUCGUGUCUUAAUAUUCAUGCCAUGAUUAGACAUAUGAUCAAGAUUAUGCUAGGUAGCAUUCCACAUCAAAAAUUAUCUUUUUUAUCAUUUACCUACUCGAGGACGAGCAGGAAUUAAGCUUGGGGAUGCUGAUACGUCUCCGUCGUAUCUAUAAUUUUUGAUUGUUCCAUGCCAAUAUUAUUCAACUUUCAUAUACUUUUUGGCAACUUUUUAUAUUAUUUUUGGGACUAACAUAUUGAUCCAGUGCCCAGUGCCAGUUCCUGUCUGUUGCAUGUUUUUGGUUUUGUAGAAUAUCCAUAUCAAACGGAGCCCAAAUGGAAUAAAAACGGACGGAGGUUAUUUUUGGAAAAUAUGGAAAAUUCGGAAGGAAAAUCAAUGCGAACCAGUGCCCGAGGUGGUCACGAGGCAGGGGGCGCCCCCCUUAGGGCGUGCCCCUACCCUCGUGAGGCCAUCGUAAGGCGGUUGAUGCUCUCUUUUGCCGCAAGAAAGCUAAUAUUCGGAAAAAAAUCACGGCGAAGGUUUCAGGCCAAUCGGAGUUACGGAUCUCCAUAUAUAUACGAAACGGUGAAACAGAGCCAGAGAGAACGCAGAACCAUAGAGAAACAGAGAGAUAGAUCCAAUCUCGGAGGGGCUCUCGCCCCUCCCACGCCAUGGGAGCCAAGUACCAGAGGGGAAACCCUUCUCCCAUCUAGGGAGGAGGUCAAGGAAGAAGAAGAAGAAGGGGGGCCCUCUCCCCCUUGCUUCCGGUGGCGCCGGGACGUCGCCGGAUCCAUCAUCAUCACCGCCAUCUUCACCAACAACCUCACCGCCAUCAUCACCAACUUUCCCCCCCUCUAGGCAGCGGUGUAACCUCUCUCUUACCCGCUGUAAUCUCUACUUAAACAUGGUGCUCAACGCUAUAUAUUAUUUCCCAAUGAUGUAUGGCUAUCCUAUGAUGUUUGAGUAGAUAUGUUUUGUCCUAAUGGCUAUUUGAUGAUCGUGAUUGGUUUGAGUUGUAUGUUUUAUUAUUGGUGCUGUCCUAUGGUGCUCUCCAUGUCGCGCAAGCGUGAGGGAUUCCCGCUGUUGGGUUUGCAAUAUGCUUAUGAUUUUCUUAUGGUGGGUGGCGUGAGUGACAGAAGCACAGACCCAAGUAAGUAGGUUGUUUUUGUAUGGGAUAAAGGGGACUUGAUACUUUAAUGCUAUGGUUUGGUUUUACCUUAACUAGAAGAACGCCCGUGCGUUGCAACGGGGCCACAUUAACUUUAAGAGUUCAAUAUUAAUCAUGUUAAUAAUACAUUUAAUAUUCUCAUACAUAUCAAGUGACACUGGCGACCUUUUUUGUCAAUUUAGCAACAGGCUCAAUUGCAACGGGCUCUUUAUACAUAUCAGACAACUCGCUACUACUUAAACUACAACUAUGGCUACCAAUAUUUUUUUGUCUAUUUAGCUCAGCAAUAGUGCCUGGCUUAAUAGACUGCUUUGCAUUCACCCCCUCAGAAGACAGAGAGAACCAACUCAACAUGUCAGAAUAUUAACAGAAAUUUCAUUUGUAUGGCAUGAACAUAUAGCAGGAGCACCAACACAUAGAUCAGCAGAGAGCAGAGCACAGCAUGCACACACUCGGGCCAUCUAUAUCAUACACACACAGCAACGCACACACGCAUCACGCUGGCAUACACAUACAGAAAAGCAGGCACACACUCAUUAUGCGCAUUGGCCGGUGCGACGCACGCAGAGCAAGUACGUACGCACGGAGAGCAAGCUAGCAAGCACGCACGCGUCCAACCCCGCCGCUGCAUGCGCUGGCAGAAGGUGAGGCAGCAAGGGAGACUGCACAUUGAAGCUGUCCAUGCAAGGCUGGAGGUGAUGGGCCGGCGAAGGCGGUGUCGGGAUGGCGCUUGAUUCGUUACCGGUGGCGUGGAGCUUGGGGCGGCAACGCGGCGAUAGCUAGUGCUCGGGGAUGGGGGUUUGGGGCGGGGGCAGUCGACCCGAUGGCUGGCGAAGUUAACGGGCUCGGGCGGCUGGAAAUUCGGUGGGUGGCGGCGGCACAGCGCGAGGAUAGGACAGGCGGAAAACCUAGCGGGCGUUCAACUACCAAUACCCACGUCUUUUUUUAGGGGAAUUGCUUGUGAAAAUAACGUGCGACGACGACUUAGCGAGCGGAUCCCCUUAAAAAAGACAUAGCGAGCAGAUUCCCUUAAAACUGGUAGGAAUGGAUACGAUUGAUGAUGUUGAUAAAUAGUGGUGAAUGUUGGCCUAAUUUACUAUCAUCAUGCAUGGAAACGAAUCAUCAAGAAAAAGAAUACUUCCUAUUACUACACUCAUAGGAAGCUUCCUAAUCUCUGCUACCAAACAGUUUCUGCCCAAACAAGGAAGGAAAGUUAUGGACGUGAUUCGGAAGGAAACAAACGUUAUGAAGAUUAAUUAAUUUAAAUUUGAUCUUUAGAGAUUGAUUGUGAUUGAUUCUUUUACAUAAAGACAUUACUAAAUAAUUUGCGUUAGUAUGGAAAGUUCUGAUCCGUUCAAUUUUUUUCGUUGUGUGAAAGGGUGAAGUGAAAAUAAACCGAUGAAGUGGGGGAGGCGACGAAAAAAAUCUACGACGGUUAACCUACGAAAAAAAACCGGACGAAAGUGGUGGGACGAAAAAAACCCUGGAAGCGAGACUACCAACUGCUCCAUUAGGAGUAGAGAUGAAUCUUUAGUAGUUGCGGAUGCUUGCUAGAGUUCCAAUCAUAAGUGCAUAUGAUCCAAGUAGAGAAAGUAUGUUAGCUUAUGCCUCUCCCUCAAAUAAAAUUGCAAUAAUGAUUACCGGUUUAGUUAUCGAUUGCCUAGGGACAAAUAACUUUCUUGUUGACAAAAGCUCUCUAUUAAAACUAAUUUAGUUGUGUCUUUAUCUAACCAGCCCCUAGUUUUAUUUACGUGCUCGCUUAUCCAAAAACACCUACAAAGUACUUCUAGUUUCAUACUUGUUUCCGGUAAAGCGAACGUCAAGCGUGCGUAGAGUUGUAUCGGUGGUCGAUAGAACUUGAGGGAAUAUUUGUUCUACCUUUAGCUCCUCGUUGGGUUCGACACUCUUACUUAUCGAAAGAGGCUACAAUUUAUCCCCUAUACUUGUGGGUUAUCAAUUUGCAGUCCAACAGGCCUGACAAAGCGACUUACUUGGCAAAUCACUAAAAAACUAGGCUCUGGCCGUGGACCCAGCUAUCAGCCUCUCCAUGUACAGUACACUCCUGAUGGAAGUCGUUCCUUGACCACGUUGACCUCGCCGCGCUGAGAGCACCACGGUGGUGGAUGAUGGCGAGGCCUAGGAAGGGGACGACGCGAUAGUGGAAGCCCGCGCGGAGAGGACUACGAGGGUUCACUGCUUCGGCUGCGGUGUGAGGCUGCCGUCGCCGCAGGGCCUGGCCAGCGGUGGGAAUAGUAGGGGGCGGUGAGGCCUCUACGGCAGCACAGCCGGCCACGGGAGGCAGGAGCAUGCAGCACGACCGGCGCUGCUUUGGGCGGCUGGAGCAAGAAGACGAGAGGUUGAAGAAGCCCUACGACCGUUGGAUGGACAUCGUACGGUCACUGGAGCUAGAAUCGUUCAUAUUGACUAAGUUGACAAAGCCCUUCGUCCCCGUCAACUUAGUAGGCCCACAAGUCAGCCUCCCAGCAAGGUGGGUCCCAGCUAGCCGGGGGAGUAUUCAUUUUUUGUGCGUAAUAAGGAGGCACUUCUGGUGGGUCCGAGCUGACAGCGGGGGCAACGUUUUUUUCGUGAAAUACGGUGGCCCGUCCGGUGGGUCCCAGCAGUCAGGGGGAAAUGAUUUUUUUCGCAAAAUACUGGUGGCCCAUCCGGUGGGUCCCUACUGUCAGGUGGAGGAAUCAUUAUUUUCUGCGUAAUAAGGAGGCACUUCCAUCUGCCACCAUGGAUCCAGCUGUCAGCCUCUCCACGUACAGUCCACGUCCGAUGGAAGUCAUUCCUUGACCACGUUGACCACGCCGUGUCGAGAGCACCAGGGCGGUGGACGAUGACGAGGCCUAGGAAGGGGACGGCACGGAGCCGGUGAAGACGCAGUAGUGGAUGCCCACGCGGAGAGGAGUAUGAGGGUUCACUCGUUCGACUGCGGUGUGAGGCUGCCGUCGCCGCAGGGCCUGGCCAGCGGUGGGAAUAGUAGGGGACGGUGAGGCCUCCGCGGCAGCACAGCCGGCCACGGGAGGCAGGAGCAGGCGGCACGAUCGGCGCUGCUUUGGGCGGCUGGAGCAAGAAGACUAGAGGUUGAAGAAGCACUACGGCCGUUGGAUGGACAUCGUACGGUCACUGCAGCUAGAAUUAUUUACUAAGUUGACAAAGCCCUUUGUACGUUAAUUUAGUAGGCCCACAGGUCAGCUUCUGAAACGGUACGCCCCAGAUGUCAGGGGGAGGAAUCAUUUUUUGGGCGGGUGAAGCUAGAAUAUUCGAGAUUGAAGAAGAAGCACGGCAUCCGUUGGAUGGACAUCCAACGGCCACUGCUGCUAGAACCGUGUGUUGACUAUAAGUUGACAAAGCCUUGUAUACGCGUCAACUCUGUUUUUUAGGGGACGUGUCAACUUAGUAAGGCCACAAGUGUGUGGUAGAGAACUUAUAGUCCAUUUAAGAUUUGUAAGAAUGUGUAGCCCAUUUUUGAAUUCUAAUGGAAUUUACUACAGCUCAUUUACAGUUUGUUAAAAGUACAGCCCAUUCCAACCAACCAUUCAAAACAGAAUUCAAUAAAAUUUCCCAUAUUUUGAUGGGAUCCGAAAUAUUUUUAUUCUGAAAUGUCUAGUCAGAUUAAAUACAAUUUCAAUAUAAAUUUAUAUUAUGUAAAAAUCCAAUGAAACAUUACGUUCGCAACAAUAAUAUUUUAUAAAGUAAUCACGUGUUUGGUGCAUUUUUUUAUAGUUACUGCCCAGUUUUUAUAAUUACAUCCCAUUUAUUAUUUCUUAAACUCAUUUUCUUAUUAAGCCUAAUGCAUCCCUCCUAGGAAAGAUUUGCAGCCCAGCGGGGCGGAGAAUAACAACUUGACCUUACCUGGGUAUUCCUAAAAAAAUAUAGCUGGGCUAGCCAUUUUCAGCUUGAAUAAUAAUAAUAUCUGGGCUGGAUAUCUGGCCUGGGCUAGACGGGCCACAACUCGCCCAGUUAAUACCUGCAGCGAUGUUUUCAUUGUUGUUCAGAGGAGAAAAAUUAAUAUCUGGGCUAAACAUCAAAAAACUCUGCAGUGCUCACACCUCAAAAACACAAAUACUGCUCGAGCUGCUUGGUCCCAGCUGUCGGCCGCUUCUUGUGCAAUUCUCUCGUUUAUUGACUACUAUAUAGGUUGACAAUGGUGUGGGAUCGUGAUGUCAGGAAACCAGGAGGAAGCAAAAUAAAUUACUCCAGCGAGCGCUUCCACCUCUGCCUCAUUGUCUCCCAUGGAAACCCCUUUCCUCCCUUUUUUUGCUCGGGCAAGGACCAAUGCAUGCAACACGUCCAUGCGGUUAUUAGGCAAGAAAUAAAAGCGCUUUGCAUGCUAUGAAUUACGAUGGCCUGCAUGGGUAGCUAAUAAGGCAUCCUCUUAAUUGCUGUGAUUAAAUGUUGUGUUUAGAAGAGAGAAAUAUUCUUAUUUUCCACCAAUCUGCUUGCACCUCGGUCGUGAUGCACCUUCUAAUACGACUUAUUCACCUAGACGGAGGGAGUAUAGUUUUAUACAUAUAUAUAUAAAAUAAGGAGGCACUUGCGUACGUGAGGCUAUGGACCUGGUGGGUCCCCAUUGUCAUCCUCUCCAAGUAAAGUCAUCUCCUCGCCCGCGCGUGCUUUCCGCUCGAAACAGUCAGCGCCACCCGCCCCGCUUCCCGGUGCAGGCGAUUGCUCUGCCUUCAAACGACAUAAGUGCCGUCCGUCCGUCCAUCUGCCGUCCACAUUAAUAAUACGCGGUUGCCGAGGCGGCUACUCCGGCACCACACGUCCGUCCCUUCGCCCGCCCACCAUUGUGUGACGCCCGGAUAAUUAGGCUACAGCAAUCCCCGUUAAUGAUGCCACGUCACCGCAGUUACGAAUGAUAAUCUCGCGUUAGUUCAAAAACAAAUUCAAAUUCAAAAUUGAAUAAAAGGCAAACAUUAAAAGUUUCAAACUUUAAAACUAAAAUUUUCAUGUGUUGCCCAAUGAUGCAGAAGUAACUACGGUGGAGGAACUACACUUUUAUAAAAUGUUUAAAUACUCUUAGAUGAUUAAAACGUUAGCAAGAACAAAUGUCUAAAUGGAUUUAUAAUUAAUAAAAUGUUAAACUAUUUCAUCUAGGUGUUUAAACUUUGGUGACAGAGGUAUAAUUAGUAAUACUGAUUUUGGUACAACUUUUAUGUUUUUAUAAAACUCAGAUAAGAUGGGACUAUAAAUAAAACAGUAAAGAGAAAAAAAGACUACACAUGACUAAAACAAAAACAAAACAUAGUAAAAGGACCCCCCUAGCUGGGCCACCGCCCAGCAGGCUACUAGGCCGCCAGGCCGGCCCAACCGCGCCUGCUACUACACCCCGCCGGGCGCCAGCAACCCUAGCCCCUCUCCCCCACUACCCCGACCCCAACUCUCUCUCGCUCGCUCCCCCACUCCCCCCCUCGAUUUCUAGAUCGGGGCAAACCACCCCCCAGUCGCCCCACUUAUUCCACUCCCCCUCUUCGGGAUCGGGGGCGUUCGCUGCCGCCGCCGUCUGGAACCCCUGAUGGAGCCGCUCCACCACCACCCGCCGUCGUCGGUGCCGCCUCCCCGUCUUCAUCGCUCAUCCUCGCCCUCCUCCUUGCCGGACGCCGUCCACGCACGCCGCUGCCGCACACCAUCACCGCCUCGUGCGGCCACUUCUUCGCCGGAGCCGCCCACCGUCAUCGUCGCCUCCUCGUCCUCCUCCUCGAGCAUGCCUCGCUCAACUACAGGGCUCUGUGAGCCCCCCUUCCCUUCCCCUCUUCCUCCCUGGCAGAUCCGCCGUCGUGCCCGUCUGAGCCUCACUCUUACCGUUCUCUCUGCACGCGUUGCACGCACAUCGCGCCGCGUCUCCUCAUCCUGCGUUGGAUCCCUCUUCCUUUUGUCCCCACGUGAGCACCACCGCGCCGGCUCGCCCGUCGCCUUGCCGCUGCACGCGGUAACCGUGCCGCCCCGCACGAGCGCACAGUGUCGCCAUGGUUGUGACCUGCGCCCCUUGCCACACGCGCUCCGGAGCCCGCUCGCGGCUGCUGCCACCCUGCACCGAUCCGUUACUCCCACCGCCAUUGCCUCCGCCGCCUACCGCUCCCCCUCCUGCGUGCAUCACCUUCUUCACAGCCUCACCGACGCUCUCCUCCGCUCCGGCCAGUGCCCGGGGCCAGCCGGGCUGCGCCCGCCUCCGGCGCUCGUUAACGCCUGGGCGCCCGCGCGCCCGAUAGGCCCUCUGGACUAUGAUAGUGGGGCCCCACGACCCCAGAACGUUUUUUUAAGAAAAAAGGAUUAAAAUAAUAAUAAAUAAAAUCAUUAAUUAAUUAAUUAAUUAAUUAAUUAAUUAAACUAAUUAAUCUUGAUUAGAUUAACCUAAUCAAUUAACUAAACCCUAAUUAACCAAACAGAGUAUGACAGGUGGGUCCCACUGGGCCCACAUGUCAGUUUGACCAGUCAACACCUAUGUUGACUGUCGAUGUCGUGCUGACGUCAUGAUGACGUCAGCAAACACUGUUCUGGAUAAUUUUGAAUUAAAUAAAUUCUAAAAAUGAUUUAAAUCUUUUAAAAUUAAUAUAAAAUAAACCGUAGCUCGGAUGGGAAAACUUUGUACAUGAAAGUUGCUCAGAACGACAAGACGAAUUCGGAUUCGCAGCCCGUUCGUACGCCACACAUCCCUAGCAUAGAAAACACGCAACUUUUCCCCUCCGGUUAAUCUGUCCGAAAACGCGAAACACCAGGGAUAAUUUCCCGAAUGUUUUCCCCCUUCACCGGUACCACCUCGUACCGCGUUAGGCCACACCUAGCAUCACGCCUUGUCAUGUCAUGCAUCGUCAUGCAUUUGUUUGCAUUAUAUUUAUUGUUUCUUCCCCCUCUUCUCUCGCUAGACACCGAGACCGACGCCACUGCUGCCCAGUACGACUACGGUGUUGAUGAUCCCUCUCUCUUGCAAGAGCAACCAGGCAAGCCCCCCCCCUUCAUCACCAGAUAUCGCCUACUCUACUCUCUACUGCUUGCAUUAGAGUAGUGUAACAUGUUACUGGUUUCCGUUAAUCCUAUCCUGAUGCAUAGCCUAUCCUUGCUACUACUGUUGAUACCUUACCUGCAAUCCUAAAUGCUUAGUAUAGGAUGCUAGAUUAUCAUCAGUGGCCCUACAUUCUUGUCUGUCUGCCAUGUUAUACUAUCGGGCCAUGAUCACUUGGGAGGUGGUCACGGGUAUAUACUUAUAUAUUAUAUAUGAUACUUGUGGUGAUUAAAGUCGGGUCGGCUAGUAGGAGUACCCGCGAGUGAUUCUGAUGUUGGGGGCUGAAGGGGCAGGUGGCUCCAUCCCGGUAGAGGUGGGCCUGAGUUCCCGAAGGCCCCUGACUGUUACUUUGUGGCGGAGCGACAGGGCAGGUUGAGACCACCUAGGAGAGAGGUGGGCGUGGCCCUGGUCGGCGUCCGUGGUUGUUUCAAAAUAACAUGCUUAACGAGAUCUUAGUAUUUGAUCCGAGUCUGGCUAUUGGCCUAUACGCACUAACCAUCUACCGCGGGGAUAGUUAUGGGCACUCGACGUCGUGGUAUCAGCCGAAGCCUUCGUGACGUCAGCGACUGAGCGGCGCGCGCUGGGUUGGACCGCGUAACGCAACUUCCUUUGUAAUGGAGGUUGCUAGGUCUGCUCUCCGGCCGCCCACGCAACGUGCAGGUGUGCAAUGGGCGAUGGGCCCAGACCCCCUGCGCCAUAGGAUUUAGACCGGCGUGCUGACCUCUCUGUUGUGCCUAGGUAGGGCUGCGACGUGUUAAUCUUCCGAGGCCGGGCAUGACCCAGAAAAGUGUGUCCAGACAAAGGGGAUCGAGUGUGUUGGGAAAUGUGGUGCACCCCUGCAGGGAAGUUAAUCUAUUCAAAUAGCCGUGAUCUUCGGUAACAGGACGACUUGGAGUUGCACCUUGACCUUAUGACAACUAGAACCAGAUACUUAAUAAAACACACCCUUCCAAGUGCCAGAUACAAUCGGUGAUCGCUCUCUCACAGGGCGACGAGGGGAGGAUCAUCGGUUAGGAUUAUGCUAUGCGAUUCUACUUGGUGAACUUACCAUCUACUCUCUUCUCCUGCUGCAAGAUGGAGGUGGCCAGAAGCGUAAUCUUUGACAUGACUAGUUAUCCCCCUCUUAUUUUGGCAUUCUGCAGUUCAGUCCACAUAUGAUACCCCUUUUCCAUUUGAUACCAAUGCAUACACAUGUAGUGUAGCUCCUUGCUUGCGAGUACUUUGGAUGAGUACUCACGGUUGCCUUGUUCCCUCUUUCCCCCCUUCCUAUACCCGAUUGUUGCGACCAGACGUUGGAGCCCAGGAGCCAGACGCCACCGUCGACGACAACUACUACUACUCGGGAGGUGCCUACUACUAUGUGCAGCCCGCUGACGACGACCAGGAGUAGUUUAGGAGGAUCCCAGGCAAGAGGCCUGCGUCUCUUUCGAUCUGUAUCCCAGUUUGUGCUAGCCUUCUUAAGGCAAACUUGUUUAACUUAUGUCUGUCAUCAGAUAUUGUUGCUUCUACUGACUCGUCUAUGAUCGAGCUCUUGUAUUCGAGCCCUCGAGGCCCCUGGCUUGUAAUAUGAUGCUUGUAUGACUUAUUUUAUUUGUAGAGUUCUGUUGUGAUAUCUUCCCGUGAGUCCCUGAUCUUGAUCGUACACGUUUGCGUGUAUGAUUAGUGUACAAUUGAAUCGGGGGCAUCACAAGUUGGUAUCAGAGCCAACUGCCUGUAGGAAUCCCCCUUCCACACUCCUUGGCCGAAGUCGAGUCUAGACAUUACAAAACUUUUACUAACAUGGUUGUAUGCCUUACGGGCCCACGUCGCCAUUUGGGUGGUAUUAGUAUCUUUUACUCCUCGAUCCUUACUCUGGGACUCUGACAUCUCUUCUAUUUGGGUUAAACGAUUUUACUAACUCUGACUCUAGGUUCUCGUAAUUACUUCCUCCCGGAGAGCCCCUUAUUACAGAUGAUCACCUGCUGCGCGAGAAGAUUCCGAAGCUACUCUCCAAUGUUUUCACAAGACCCUUGUGCCCAUCGACUUUACAAUUCCCUACCACCAAAAUACCCUUAUGGAAAACUACCUACAAUUGUCGUUCAUACAUUUAGCCUGAGUUGCUCUUGUUAUUACAAGAUGCCCUAAAUUGCUCUCCGUUGUUUCGAAAAUCCUUUAAGCUAACUGCCUUGCAGUUCUUUACCACAUGAAUACCCUUAUUGAAAAUUCCUCGCACUAUCGAGUAUCCGUUCACCCCCAGUUGUUUGUAUGCUUCAUAAGAUACUCUAAAAUACUAUCCGACCUUCUGAGCCUCCUAUUCAAACUAUUGCUCUACAAAUACUUGUAUGCUUACAUUAUGGAUGCUCCCAUAUCACUAGCAAUAUCCACUAGUAUCUUUUGACACCGUCAUUUUCAUCCCAUUGAUUCGACAUGUGUGCGAAUGCACACAAUCAUCAAUCAACCCUUCUAUAUUAUCUUCCGGCUCAGACGUCAUUUUGAACAUGAGCUGGUUCUCAACCAAACUAUUUGUCGUCAAAUGUGCCUCUGGUCUAUCCAACUUAUCCGUCCUUGAUCAGAGCGUCUGCUUUUGAUCCUUCGUUUUGGAAACCGUAAUUUCUUUCUAUUUAAGCAUCAGACUAAUCAGGUGAUUCUUGAAUUUGAUGCCUCUGCAUUCUUUCUUCCUCUGAGUGAGUACCGAUACUCACAUUGGCUCCGUUGUGGAUCGCCCGAUCCAUUGUUGGAUUGUUAUCCGAUAGUGUCCUUCAUAUUCAAUCACCUUGUGAGUUCUUCCCCCGAUACAUAAUGCCUUUGGUAAAUUGUAUCCUCUGCUUGGCCAACCAUGCUCUGCUUUUGAGCUUGUGCAUUUACUUUUGAAACUUGUGGUAUAUGUUACUAAGAUGCCCGAUGGGUUGAACCUAUGCCUUCCCCUAAUCCGUGAGAACCCAGAAGUUUUCACAAAUCAUAUUUUCCGGUGUUCUACCAAAUAAAAUUCCAACACUACAGUUUUAUCAAGACGAGAAGUGAAUGAAAGGUUAUGCAUUGAAUAAGUGGGAGUCGACCUUGAACUUUGUGUUCAUGCCCAUGGACCCGAUGUGGAACUUAUCAUGGGAGCUUCUUGUAGUAAUAACUAAUUCCUUGAUCUAAUAUCCUUUGGUAUCGGUGAAUUGAUUCUUUUAUAAUUGUGGUUUCGACCAUAUGUUCUUCUUAGAUCCCAUUUCUCGGGCAAGUUUAAGUACUUGUCUUCUGUGGAUCAAUACACCAGUCCAACCUUUACUUUGAUCUUUCGUCGAGUAUUAUCCCCCUGGUAUCUCGAGAAUAUCUUGGAUCUUCCCGGAACACAAUCUUUUACGCUGAGCUAAGCUUGCAUUGAUUUCCUUGUCUUAUCAUUCCACCUCGAACAACAAGCUUGGUUUCGAGUUCGUGUCGUACCCAUGGUUCCGAUAACCUCUUGCUUCAUCAUUCCUUUGACUUGAUAUCGUCGAUGAGCGAUUAUAUCUUCAUGAAACCUCUCGACAAAUGUGUCAUGAUCUUCAUCAACAUUUUGACCCCUUCCAGGAUAUCAAUUGAAUUCACGAUGAGAAGUACCAUCCUUGCCCUCAAUGAUUUGUGUUAUCAUCGACCACUUUAUUGCCUUCCAUUCAACACAGACUUGUUCGUGUUUCUAGCAACCCUAUUGCUUUCAAGUUAAUGGUCGAUAUUUAAUUCUUAGACAAUUGGUUGUUGAAUCACCUUUCUAACAUUGAUCAUGCUACCUAAGACCAUAUUUUGGGUGCACUUUUCAACCAAUGCUUAAUUGUGUAUGUUUUCCUCGAGCAUACAUCCUUAUAUCAUUUGAUCCGACAAAUGUUAUCUCCUUGUUCACAUAAGUGUGGAAAUCCAUCUUUUGAAAAUCUCACUGAAUUGUCGCUGAGUCCAGCAGCCACCUCUUCAUCCUCUCCUUGGUUUUAAUGAUGAACUCUUGUUUCGGAACUCGCUUCCAUAGUACAUCUCCCGAUAAUCUUACAAUGUCGUCUCGUCAAUUGUGUUGUACCUUUUCUUCUCAGACAUCCUGAGUCUGAGGUAUCCUGACACCCUUCAGAUCUGAAUCUCGGUCAGAUAUGAUGGUUAGAACAAAUUCCCAAGAGUUAUAACAUUAGUAUUUGACCCGAUAAGGUGAUGUCAUGCCUAGCACACCUGGCCAGAGGACCUAUUGUUAUAGUUUCCUUUUAGCAAGGUUAUCUAUUCUUCCAUGAGGAAAUGGUAAGACUUAUUCUAUAAGUUGUUCCUGAUGAAUCCUUCGUGUAUCCAGAGUCUGACCUUUUGCUUGAAGACCAUGUCAAUGCUAUCCCAAAGCAUGUCUAUGGUAAUCCGAUUUUCAACCAGAACAUUUGAAGCCCAAUGCUAAAUGUUUCUCACUCAAUUAUCCAAACAACGUUGUAUGGGUAAUGUCAUGAAAUUUCUCUCACCUUACCUAAAGGGUUUUCUACAUUAGAUCUUGUCCAGGAUAUCAUGCUCUGCUUGUCCUUGGGAAGGAUAUACCCUUGAAAUAUGUGUUUAAACACAUUUUCCUUUCCAUUGUUCUGUUUAAUCUGAUGAUCACCUUUUCCUUUCCAUUGUUUUGUUUAACCUUAUUGGUGAUCUAUAUGAUCUAAGCAUUAAUAUUCUCCUGGUUAUGUAAUCACGUCGUGUACAACUCGGUCAGUAAGACCCUGUUACUAUUGUUGAUGAUAUUCUGGUAACCACCGAUGGACGAGAACUUUGCCUAUUGGUCCGCCUCGUUUUGACGAGCAGGGAAAUGGUUCUCUUCGUCCCUCACCCUUGUUACCGAUGUUGUCGCCAACAUAACUGACAAGCUAUCCUCUAACCUGCCUUGCUGUCAUGUCCAUACAAGAUGUCAGUGCCCUUCCUACUUUUAACCCACAUGGUGGGCCCAUAACCCAUAGGUCCCAGGAUCGAAACCUGACUCUCCUGUACCCCCUGCUCCCAAAGUUAUUCCUCCCGCGUGGACUCGUAUGUAAUUCAUGAGCCACCUUCCAAUGAGAUCAUCAAUUCUGGCAUCAGACACAAUAAUUUUUCCGUUGCUUUGAGAUCCUUUCACCUUCUGACUAGGCAUUGAAUGAUUUCCUGGUUGCUUGAAACUUCUUAUUGUACCUUUGAACUUUACUCUGGAUAUGUUUUAUUUGUUCAACUCGAGAGGUACUCAUACACUCAUUCGUGGGUUAAUCCCAGAUUAUUACCCUUAUAGCAUUUUGUCGUUGCCGAUCUGCCCCGUUACCUAUUCGUAAGUACGAUGAAGAUCCCAAAGAAAGGAUGCCUACUUCAUCAUGAUGACCUGAAUCAGACAAAUGAAGACAUCAACAUAGUGGAUCGACCGCUUCGAGAAGAGCAACCAAGGCCGAGAAGAUUCGUUAGAAUAUUGUAACGAGACCUCUCUCCCUUAUUCCACCUCUUAAAUCUCGGGACGAGAUUUUCUUGUAGUAGAGGAGAUUUGUGACGCCCAGAUAAUUAGGCUACAGUAAUCCCCGUUAAUGAUGCCACAUCAGCGUAGUUAUGGUUGAUAAUCCCGCGUUAGUUCAAAAACCAAUUAAAUUCAAAAUUGAAUAAAAGGAAAACAUCAAAAUUUUCAAACUUCAAAACUAAAAUGUUCGGGUUGUGCCCAAUGAUGCAGAAGUAACUACGGUGGAGGAACCACACUUUUAUAAAAUGUUUAAAUACUCUUAGAUGAUUAAAACUGUAGCAAGAACAAAUUUCUAAAUGGAUUUAUAAUUAAUAAAAUGUUAAACUAUUUCAUCUAAGGGUUUAAACUUUGGUGACAGAGGUAUAAUUAGUAAUACUGAUUUUAGUACAACUUUUAUGUUUUUAUAAAACUCAGAUAAGAUGGGACUAUAAAUAAAAGAAUAAAGAGAAAAAUAAAUAAAUAAAGAAAAAGACUAAACAUGAUUAAAAUAAAAACAAAACAAAGUAAAAGGACCCCCCUAGCUGGGCCAUGGCCCAGCAGGCUACUGGGCCGCCAGGCCGACCCAACCGCGCCCGCUACUACUCCCCGCCGGGCGCCAGCAACCCUAGCCCCUCUCUCCCACUACCCCGACCCCCACUCUCUCUCGCUCGAUCCCCCACUCCCCCCCCCCGAUUUCUAGAUCGGGGCAAACCACCCCUCCCACAGUCGCCCCACUCGAUCCACUCCCCCUCUUCGGGAUCGGGGGCGUUCGCCGCCGCCGCCGUCUGGAACCCCCGUUGGAGCCGCCCCACCACCACCCACCAUCGUCGGUGCCGCCUCCCCGUCUUCGUCGCUCGUCCUCGCCCUCCUCCUCACCGGACGCCGUCCAUGCACGCCGCCGCCGCACACCAUCAUCGCCUCGUGUGGCCACUUCUUCGCCAGAGCCGCCCACCGUCGUCGUUGCCUCCUCGUCCUCCUCCUCGAGCACGCCUCGCUCAACUAUAAGGCUAUGUGAGCCCCCCUUCCCUUCCCCUCUUCCUCCCUGGCAGAUCCACCGCCGUGCCCGUCUGAGCCUCACUCUCACCAUGCUCUCUGCAUGCGUUGCACACACAUCGCGCCGCGUCUCCUCAUCCCGCGUUGGAUCCCUCUUCCUUCUGUCCCCGCAUGAGCACCACCGCGCCGGCUCGCCCGUCGCCUUGCUGCUGCACGCGCCAACCGUGCCGCCCCGCACCAGCGCACCGUGUUGCCAUGGUUGUGACCUGCGCCCCUCGCCGCACGCGCUUUGGCGCCUGCUCGCGGCCGCUGCCACCCCGCACCGACCCGUUACUCCCACCGCCGCUGCCUCCACCGCCUACCGCUCCCCUCCUGCGCGCAUCACCUCCUUCACAGCCUCACCGACGCUCUCCUCCACUCCAGCCAGUGGCCAAGGCCAGCCGGGCUGCGCCCGCCUCUGGCGCCCGUUAACGCCUGGGCGCCCGAUAGGCCCUCUGGACUAUGACAGUGGGGCCCCACGGCCCCAGAACAUUUUUCUUAAGAAAAAAGGAUUAAAAAUAAUAAUUAAUAAAAUUAUUAAUCAAUUAAUUAACUUAAUUAAUUAAUUAAUUAACGUAAUUAAUCUUAACUAAUUAAUUAAAGAAUUAAUUAAACUAAUUAAUCCUGAUUAGAUUAACCUAAUCAAUUAACUAAACCCUAAUUAACCAAAUAGAGUAUGAUAGGUGGGUCCCACUGGGCCCACAUGUCAGUUUGACUAGUCAACACCUCUGUUGACUGCUGACGUCAUGCUGACAUCAGCAAACACUGUUCUGGAUAAUUUUGAAUUAAAUAAAUUCUAAAAAUGAUUUAAAUCUUUCCAAAUUAAUAUAAAAUAAACCGUAGCUCGGAUGGGAAAACUUUGUACAUUAAAGUUGCUCAGAACGACGAGACGAAUCCGGAUACGCAGCCCGUUCGUCCGCCACACAUCCCUAGCAUAGCAAACACACAACUUUUCCCCUUCGGUUAAUCUGCCCGAAAACGCGAAACACCUGGGAUAAUUUCCCGAAUGUUUUCCCCCUUCACCGGUACCACCUCGUACCGCGUUAGGGCGCACCUAGCAUCAUGCCUUGUCAUGUCAUGCAUCGUCAUGCAUUUGUUUGCAUUAUAUUUAUUGUUUCUUCCCCCUCUUCUCUCGCUAGACACCGAGACCGACGCCGCUGCUACCCAGUACGACUACGAUGUUGACGACCCCUCUCUCUUGCCAGAGCAACCAGGCAAGCCCCCCUCCCCUUUAUCACCAGAUAUCGCCUACUCUACUCUCUACUGCUUGCAUUAGAGUAGUGUAACAUGUUACUGGUUUCUGUUAAUCCUAUCUUGAUGCAUAGCCUGUCCUUGCUACUACUGUUGAUACCUUACCUGCAAUCCUAAAUGCUUAGUAUAGGAUGCUAGAUUAUCAUCAGUGGCCCUACAUUCUUGUCUGUCUGUCAUGCUAUACUAUCGGGCCCUGAUCACUUGGGAGGUGGUCACGGGUAUAUAAUUAUAUAUUAUAUAUGAUACUUGUGGUGAUUAAAGUCGGGUCGGCUCAUAGGAGUACCCGCGAGUGAUUCCGAUGUUGGGGGCUGAAGGGGCAGGUGGCUCCAUCCCGGUAGAGGUGGGCUUGAGUUCCCGAGGGCCCCCGACUGUUACUUUGUGGCGGAGCGACAGGGCAGGUUGAGACCACCUAGGAGAGAGGUGGGCCUGGCCCUGGUCGGCGUCCAUGGUUGUUUCAAAAUAACACGCUUAACGAGAUCUUGGUAUUUGAUCCGAGUCUGGCUAUUAGCCUAUACGCACUAACCAUCUACGCGGGGACAGUUAUGGGCACUUGACGUCGUGGUAUCAGUUGAAGCCUUCGUGAUGUAAGUGACUGAGCGGCGCGCGCCGGGUUGGACCACGUAAUGCAACUUCCUUUGUAAUGGAGGUUGCUUGGUCUCCUCUCCGGCCGCCCACACAACAUGCAGGUGUGCAAUGGGUGAUGGGCCCAGACCCCUGCGCCAUAGGAUUUAGACUGGCGUGUUGACCUCUUUGUUGUGCCUAGGUAGGGCUGCGACGUGUUGAUCUUCCGAGGCUGGGCAUGACCCAGAAAAGUGUGUCUGGACAAAGGGGAUCGAGCAUGUUGGGAAAUGUGGUGCACCCCUGCAGGGAAGUUAAUCUAUUCGAAUAGCCGUGAUCUUCGAUAACAGGACGACUUGCACCUUGACCUUAUGACAACUAGAACCGGAUACUUAAUAAAACACACCCUUCCAAGUGCCAGAUACAAUCGGUGAUCGCUCUCUCACAGGGCGACGAGGGGAGGAUCAUCGGUUAGGAUUAUGCUAUGUGAUGCUACUUGGUGAACUUACCAUCUACUCUCUUCUCCUGCUGCAAGAUGGAGGUGGCCAGAAGCAUAGUCUUCGACAGGACUAGUUAUCCCCCUCUUAUUCCGGCAUUCUGCAGUUCAGUCCACAUAUGAUACCCCUUUUCCAUUUGAUACCAAUGCAUACACAUGUAGUGUAGCUCCUUGCUUGUGAGUACUUUGGAUGAGUACUCACGGUUGCCUUGUUCCCCCUUUCCCCCCUUCCUAUACCCGAUUGCUGCGACCAGACGUUGGAGCCCAGGAGCCAGACGCCACCGUCGACGACGACUACUACUACUCGGGAGGUGCCUACUACCACGUGCAGCCCGCUGACGACGACCAGGAGUAGUUUAGGAGGAUUCCAGGUAGGAGGCAUGCGUCUCUUUCGAUCUGUAUCCCAGUUUGUGCUAGCCUUCUUAAGGUAAACUUGUUUAACUUAAGUCUGUACUCAGAUAUUGUUGCUUCCGCUGACUCGUCUAUGAUCGAGCUCUUGUAUUCGAGCCCUCGAGGCCCCUGGCUUGUAAUAUGAUGCUUGUAUGACUUAUUUUAUUUGUAGAGUUGUGUUGUGAUAUCUUCCCGUGAGUCCCUGAUCUUGGUCGUACAUGUUUGCGUGUAUGAUUAGUGUAUGAUUGAAUCGGGGGCGUCACACAUUGCUAUAUAAACUGCUGCGCGGGCCAUAGCUGCAGUCAUCCGCAUCCGUUCCCUUUCUCCUGUCCACACCACUACUGCCCACCAUGGCUUCCUCGCGGUCCAGCGCUCUUUGAGACGGGCGGACGACGGACCACAAGGACAUGGCAGCCAUUGCUGCCGACUUGCUAGCUGGCAGGCAGCCGGAAGACGACGACGUCCCACUGGAGAACAUGAUAGUCGACGAUCCGGCACCAACCCCCUCCUCCGCGCCAUCCUCGCCGGUGCAUUGCACCAUGACCAUCGGGGAGGCCCGUGCCCAAUACAUGGACAGUGUGAGGCAGAUGCGUCAGGAGCAGUUCCGGGAGGCACAAGCCGACGCCACCUACAACCACCAUCUCGUCCAGGAGCACCUGCAGGCGGAGGAGCAGGUCGUCGCGGAGCGGGCGGAGCAGGAGGUGCUGCUCGACUCGUGCCGCUCCGCCCGCAAGGGCCGCCUCGAGCGCUGGCGGUACCGCAUGCAGGUGGCGGAGGCUGCGGCUGCCUAUAAAGAGGCUAGCAAAGAGCGCGAUGAAGCGGGCGGGGCGCUGUUUGGCAGGACCGAGGAUGAGGCAGAGGACAAUGCCGGCUCCGACGAGUCCCCGCUCCGCUGGCGUUGACGAGGCCCUACUCCGUCGAGGCCCCGCACUGCCAACAACGAGGCAGAGGACACCGCCGGCUCCGCCGAGGCCCCGCCCCGCCAACAAUGAGGCAGAGGACAUUGCCGGCUCAGCCGAGGCCCCACCCUGCCGGCAACGCGGGGGAGGAUUUCCACCGCUCCGCUAAGGCGCCGCCCGCCGGCAACAAGACAGAGGACAUCCUCGGCUCCGCUGAGGCCCCUCCCCGCUGCCAACGAGGCCGCACCACACAGAAAACGAGGAAGAGUAGAACACGGUAGGUCGCCGUCGCUCGGGUCCAAGUAAGGCCACCGCUGCUACCCUCCUGUUGAAGCCAAGCCAGGCGGGUUGACCAUUGACGGACGGUUAGCUUCUUGGCGGCGACGUGGAGUCAGGGAGUUCUGCUGGAGAAUAAUGCUGCUUCUACUUAACUGCUGGUGCAGCUGGCUGACUGACACGUGGGCCCAAUAGGCCACAUGUCAGUUACGCAACUGCACCUGCAGUUAAGUCACUAAAGCUUCUGUUCGGCUCAGCGGGGCACAGGUGGGUAGCUUCGGUUAAUUAAUUAUACCUCCAGCGCACCCCUCUUUAGUUGAAGAAUGUAUGAAAUGUAAUGAAAGCUGGCAUGUUUAUAUGAAAUCCGACCGUGUAUGAAUGAAUUUAUUUCGAUUAGUUCGAAUUCAUGUAUCACUGGCAUUGGAUGAACAUGCAAAACAAUACGUACUAGCAUUAUUUCCAGGGUGAUCACCUCGUUUGCAGCAGUUUCACAUGUACUCCCUCCGGUCCUUUCUAGUCUGCAUACAAGUUUUGUCUGUAGUCAAAGUAUCUCUACUUUGACCAAUCUUAUACAAAAAAGUAAGCACUUUCACAACAUGCAAAGUAAAAAGGAACAGAAGGAGUACAAAGAGUUUGAGCAGCUUUUUAGCGUUUCUGUACAUUGCAAUCAAACACACAGGCCUGGAAAUUCAUAGAGAACAUUCAAAACAAUCGAUGAUUAUGCAUCUCGGCGACUCACAUGUUAGAGGCAAUAUUUACUUCACAACUAAAGAUUAAAGAAAAAAUUGAUUGACGCUGCUACAGCAAAGGGCGUCCCAUUCGAAAAUAUCAAACGCAUGUCUUGCUAAAAUCAAUGAGCAAAAUUUGACAAGGUUGUCCCAUUCCAAAAUAUCAAAUGCCUACAAUUGUGGAAUGGGCAGGGUUUGCCAUCAGUUUGGACAUUGACAUGGCACCUCGUGCUAAAUAAACCAGCUGUUCUUUUUGUGAAGUUCCACCAAAAUCAACUAAAUUCGCGCGUAGCUUGUAUGAUUUCGCCCUUAUAUGUUGCAACGCCUUGAACUUAUCGGCACCUCCUUUCUUGUGGUGGAAAUGAAUGAUUCAAUGUAUCCAUGAACAUUUUGUGCAGUUCCCAUUGAAAUCAAGCUGAGCACCCCUGUUUGCACAAAUACAAAAAAGUGAUUAGUAUAGAGCAAACUGUACUAUGAAUUGACAGUUUCAACAGGCACAUACAUGGUCCAUGUAGAGCACACUUUUAGAAAAAUGGAACUCACCAGAAAUAAUCCUAGAACAGCAUUGUACUCGCACAUCACAACAAAAAAUGGAGAUUUUAUCAGUCCUUCUGAGCUGAAGUUAGUUUGGUCUUGUGGGGAGUAGUGUAACCAUACUUCAACUGCUCCUUCUGAUGAUAAGAUAGACAGGGCUUCUUCAUCUUGGCAUAAUCGAAACUAGUCACUUCACGUACUUCAUAUUCUUAUUCAGAGGAAGAUGAUCCUGUUGUGCAAAGACAAGAGGACUACUAAAUGCUAGCAUCACUGUUUGCUCGAAAAAAAGGAAAGGAAAUAUUUAAAACACCAUAGAUGAAGCACUUCUCAAGGACAAUACCACUUUUUCAUGACAGUAUCUAAACAGUAGCACAACACCAAUAGAGAUGACAAAGCUCAAUCAUAUGGAUGAAAUCAGUGGGCGAGUACCAACCUUUGUCAGGAGGCUUAUUGUGUAUAGCAUACAGAUGAAGCAAUUCUCCGGAACCAUCUGUUGCUAUGUACGGUGGUGGCCAUGCUUACUAUAUACUCCUCGAUUAGUUUAAUGGUUCCAACAUCUUCUUGUGCAGUUCCACUAAAAUAUAUGGUAUCUUCAAAGAAGAUCCCUGUUUGCACAAGUAGAGAUAAUUACAUAUUACAUUAAGAGUGGCAUCAAAUCAGUGGCAAAACAAUUGCUCGUUCCAGCCAUAGCAAUAAAUUAAGAUGCAAAACUAUAUCAUUACUUGUGUCAUCACAGUUCCAGUGCUUCAUUACAGCACCGGGAGUUGAUUUUUGUUUUUCUUCCCCUUGUUCUUCCCCUUCAUCACUUGGUUCAAUAAAAAAAAGCUUCGCCUUCAAUGUAAGAUUUGGCAUGUCAAUUAGGGAGCACAAUUAUAGUACUAAACUUAAUUUUAUGAUGAAAGUGUCAAAAUACAGGCCAACAGUUGUGAAAUAUCCUUAUCUUACCUCAAUGGGAUAUUACGGUGCACAUACAGAUUGGAAGUCUUGUCUCCAUUUGUGCAGUUCACUAAAAUCAAGCAACAUUAUCGUACAAGUAGCACAACAUAUGAAUGCACACUGUAGAAUCAUGUGAAAGAAGGCUAGUACUGACCUCUCAUGAUGCGGAAUUCAAACAACUCACAAGAAGAAGAUCUGAACCAAAUUCACCUUAACGGAUAGGAAGUAAGAUCUCCUCUUGUGCAGUUCCACUAAGAUCAAGCAAUCAAGCAAUGUUGUCGGUGUGACAUUUUGGUUGAACUGCACAAAACACUCUUAAAACAAAAGUGUUUUCUGCAGUGCAACAAAAGGUCACAAUGGCAACGAGGUGAAGCAGAUAACCCUGUUUACACAGAGGUGCAAAGGAAACAAUUAGUGGUCAAUAACGGUGGAUGACACAGAAGCCAACAAAAAGAAGCAUCUACCUUAUCUAAAUGGGAAAGAAAGCAAGACAGUAGCAUUUCUCAAACGGUGGCAUUGAUUAAUAUUAACAACAGCUAAUGAGUUGCACGAGACAGUGGACGCACCAGCACCAUGUGCAUCUACCGAUGUACUGUGGUCGUGCACAGUUGAUGUCUAGUACACAAUCUUCUUCUUGUAGACGUUGUUGGGCCUCCAAGUGCAGAGGUUUGUAGGAUAGUAGCAAAUUUCCCUCAAGUGGAUGACCUAAGGUUUAUCAAUCCGUAGGAGGCGUAGGAUGAAGAUGGUCUCUCUCAAGCAACCCUGCAACCAAAUAACAAAGAGUCUCUUGUGUCCCCAACACACCCAAUACAAUGGUAAAUUGUAUAGGUGCACUAGUUCGGCGAAGAGAUGGUGAUACAAGUGGUAUAUGGAUGGUAGAUAAUAGUUUUUGUAAUCUGAAAAUAUAAAAACAACAAGGUAACAAAUGAUAAAAGUGAGCGUAAAUAGUAUUGCAAUGUGUGUAAAUAAGGCAUAGGGUUCAUACUUUCACUAGUGUAAGUUCCCUCAACAAUAAUAACAUAAUUGGAUCAUAUAACUAUCCCUCAACAUGCAACAAAGAGUCACUCUAAAGUCACUAAUAGCGGAGAACGAACGAAGAGAUUAUGGUAGGGUACGAAACCACCUCAAAGUUAUUCUUUCCAAUCAAUCCGUUGGGCUAUCCCUAUAAGUGUCACAAACAGCCCUAGAGUUCGUACUAGAAUAACACCUUAAGACACAAAUCAACCAAAACCCUAAUGUCACCUAGAUACUCCAAUGUCACCUCAAGUAUCUGUGGGUAUGAUUAUACGAUAUGCGUCACACAAUCUCAGAUUCAUCUAUUCAACCAACACGAAGGACCUCAAAGAGUGCCCCAAAGUUCCUACCGGAGAAUCACAGCGAAAACAUGUGCCAACCCCUAUGCAUAGGUUCAUGGGCGGAACCCGCAAGUUGAUCACCAAAACAUACAUCAAGUGAAUCACGUGAUAUCCCAUUGUCACCAUAGAUAUCCAUGGCAAGACAUACAUCAAGUGUUCUCAAAUCUUUAAAGACUCAAUCCGAUAAGAUUACUUCAAAGGGGAAACUCAAUUCAUUACAAGAGAGAAGAGGGGGAGGAGAAAUAUAAGAUCCAACUAUAAUAGCAAAGCUCGCAAUACAUCAAGAUCGUGCCAAAUCAAGAACACGAGAGAGAGAGAGAGAGAUCAAACACAUAGCUACUGGUACAUACCCUCAGCCCCGAGGGAGAACAACUCCCUCCUCGUCAUGAAGAGCACCGGGAUGAUGAAGAUGGCCACCGGGGAAGGAUUGCCCCCUCCGGCAGGGUGCCGAAACGGGGCUAGAUUGGUUUUUGGUGGCUACGGAGGCUUCUGGCGGCGGAACUCCCGAUCUAAUCUCUAUUCUUGAAGUUUUAGGGUAUAUGGAGUUAUAUAGGUAGAAGAAGCACGUCACGGGAGCCACGAGGGCCCCACGAGGCAGGGGGCGCGCCCCAGGGGGGUGGGCGCGCCCCUACCCUCGUGAGCUCCUCCUUCCUUCCUUGACGUGGGCUCCAAGUCCAUUGGGUGGCUUUCGUUCCAAAAAUAACUUCUCUAGUUGAUUUCGUUCCGUUUCGACUCCGUCUGAUAUUCCUUGUCUUCAAAACACUGAAAUAGGCAUAAAACAGCAAAUCUGGGCUGGGCCUCCAGUUAAUAGGUUAGUCCCAAAAAUAAUAUAAAAGUGGAAAAUAAAGCCCAAUAUUGCCCAAAACAGUAGAUAAUAUAGCAUGGAGCAAUCAAAAAUUAUAGAUACGUUGGAGACGUAUCAAGUAUCCCCAAGCUUAAUUCCUGCUCGUCCUCGAGUAGGUAAAUGGUAAAAAGAUAAUUUUUGAUGUGGAAUGCUAGUUGGCAUAAUUUCAAUGUAAUUCUUCUUACUUGUGAUAUGAAUAUUCAGAUCCAUAAGAUUCAAGACAAAAGUUUAAUAUUGACAUAAAAAUAAUAAUACUUCAAGCAUACUAACUAAGCAAUUAUGUCUCUUCAAAAUAACAUGGCCAAAUAAAGUUAUCCCUACAAAAUCAUAUAGUCUGGAUAUGCUCCAUCUUCACCACACAACAUAUUUAAAUCAUGCACAACCCCGAUGAAAUGCCAAGCAAUUGUUUCAUACUUUUAAUGUUCUCAAACUUUUUCAAUCUUCACGCAAUACAUGAGCAUGAGCCAUGGACAUAGCACUAUAGGUGGAAUAGAAUGGUGGUUGUGGAGAAGACAAAAAGGGAGAAGAUAGUCUCACAUCGACUAGGCGUAUCAACGGGCUAUGGAGAGGCCCAUCAAUAGAUAUCAAUGUGAGUGAGUAGGGAUUGCCAUGCAACGGAUGCACUAGAGCUAUAAGUAUAUGAAAGCUCAACAAAAGAAACUAGUGGGUGUGCAUCCAACUCGCUUGCUUACGAAGACCUAGGGCAAUUUGAGGAAGCCCAUCAUUGGAAUAUACAAGCCAAGUUCUAUAAUGUAAAAUUCCCACUAAUAUAUGAAAGUGACAACAUAGGAGACUCUCUAUCAUGAGGAUCAUGGUGCUACUUUGAAGCACAAGUGUGGUAAAAGGAUAGUAGCAUUGUCCCUUCUCUCUUUGUCUCUCAUUUUUUGGGCCUUCUCUUUUUUUAUAUGGCCUUUCUCCUUUUUUUGGGCCUUGUCCUUUUUUAUGGCCUUUCUUUUUUUCGUCGAGAGUCUCAUCCCGACUUGUGGGGGAAUCAUGGUCUCCAUCAUCCUUUCCUCACUGGGACAAUGCUCUAAUAAUGAUGAUCAUCACACUUUUAUUUUCUUACAACUCAAGAAUUACAAAUCGAUACUUAGGACAAGAUAUGACUCUAUAUGAAUGCCUCUGGCGGUGUACCGGGAUGUGCAAUGAUGCAUGAGUGACAUGUAUGAAAGAAUUAUGAACGGUGGCCUUGCCACAAAUACGAUGUCAACUACAUGAUCAUGCAAAGCAAUAUGAUAAUGAUGAAGCGUGUCAUAAUAAUGGAAUGGUGGAAAGUUGCAUGGCAAUAUAUCUCAGAAUGGCUAUGGAAAUGCCAUAAUAGGUAGGUAUGGUGGCUGUUUUGAGGAAGGUAUAUGGUGGGUUUAUGGUACCGGUGAAAGUUGCGCGGUACUAGAGAGGCUAGCAAUGGUGGAAGGGUGAGAGUGCGUAUAAUCCAUGGACUCAACAUUAGUCAUAAAGAACUCACAUACUUAUUGCAAAAAUCUAUUAGUUAUCAAAACAAAGUACUACGCGCAUGCUCCUAGGGGGAUAGAUUGGUGGGAAAAGACCAUCGCUCGUCCCCGACCGCCACUCAUAAGGAAGGAAAUCAAUAAAUAAAUCAUGCUCUGACUUCAUCACAUAAUGAUUCAACAUACGUGCAUGAUACGGGAAUCACAAACUUCAACACAAGUAUUUCUCAAAUUCAUAACCACUCAACUAGCAUGACUCUAAUAUCACCAUCUUCAUAUCUCAAAACAAUUAUCAAGUAUCAAACUUCUUAUAGUAUUCAACACACUCAUAAGAGAAUUUUAUUAUUCUUGAAUAUCUAGCAUAUUAGGAUUUCAAGCAAAUUACCAUGCUAUUUAAGACUCUCAAAAUAAUCUAAGUGAAGCAAGAGAGUUCAUCUAUUUCUUCAAAAUAAAACUACCACCAUGCUCUAAAAGAUAUAAGUGAAGCACUAGAGCAAAUGACAAACUACUCCGAAAGAUAUAAGUGAAGAUUAAUGAGUAGUCGAAUAAUUAUGCAACUAUGUGAAGACUCUCUAACAUUUAAUAAUUUCAGAUAUUGGUACUCUAUUCAAACAGAAAGCAAAGCAAAAUAAAAUGACAUCUAAGAAUAGCAAACAUCAUGUGAAGAAGCAAAAACUUAGCAUCAACUGAUACUAACCGAUAAUUGUUGAAGAAGAAAGGUGGGAUGCCAACCGGGGCAUCCCCAAGCUUAGACGCUUGAGACUUCUUGAAAUAUUAUCUUGGGGUGCCUUGGGCAUCCCCAAGCUUGAGCUUUUGUGUCUCCUUAAUUCCUCUCAUAUCACGGUCUCCCUAAAUCUCAAAGCUUCAUCCACACAAAACUCAACAAGGACUCGUGAGAUAAGUUAGUAUAAACCAUUGCAAAAACCUUAUCAUACUCUACUGUAGCAAAUCACUAAAAUUAUUAUUCAACAUUGCAUACUAAAUGACUCUGCAUAUUUAAUAGUCCUAUCCUCAAAUAGAAACAUUAAAGAAGCAAACAUAUGCAAACAAUGCAAGCAUAACAGCAAUCUGCCUAAACAGGAUAGCCUGUAAAGAAUGCUGCAACAUCCAUAAUUACCUAACUCCAAAAAUUAUUAAAGAAAAUUCCCACUGUAUUAAAUUUAUGAUAUCUUAAUAUGCAAAAGGUUUCAACAUUUUAUCACAUUCUGACUUUUCUAGGGAAUUAUUGCAACAGCGGUAAACUUUCUGUUUUCAAACAGCAACAUGUAUACUUGUAACAUAGGCAUAGUAAAGGCUAUCAAUGCCACUUUUAUUGAAAUAAAAGAUGCAAAACAUUUUUCUAAAUAACAUCAAUCAAAUAUUAACAAAAUAAAUUGAUGCUCCAAGCAAAACACAUAUCAUGUGGUGAAUAAAAAUAUAGCUCCAAGUAAAGUUACCGAUGGAAGUAGACGAAAGAGGGGAUGCCUUACGGGGCAUCCCCAAGCUUAGGCUCUUGGCUAUCCUUGAAUAUUACCUUGAGGUGCCUCGGGCAUCCCCAAGCUUAGGCUCUUGCCACUCCUUAUUCCAUAGUCCAUUGAAUCCUUACCCAAAACUUGAAAACUUCACAACACAAAACUUAACAGAAAACUCGUAAGCUCCGUUAGCGAAAGAAAACAAAACACAACUUCAAGAUACUGUAAUGAACUCAUUAUUUAUUUAUAUUGGUGUUAACACUACUGUAUUCCAACUUCUCUAUUGUUUAUAAACUAUUUAACUAGCCAUAGAUUCAUCAAAAUAAGCAAACAACACACGAAAAACAGAAUCUGUCAAAAACAGAACAGUCUGUAGUAAUCUGGAUCAAACGUAUACUUCUGGAACUCAUAAAAUUCUCAAAUAAAUUUCUGGACCUGAGGAAUUUAUCUAUUAAUCAUAUGCAAAAAGAAUUAACUAAAUAUAGCUCUCCAAAUAAAAAUGGCAGCAAUUCUCGUGAGCGCUAAAGUUUCUGUUUUUUACAGCAUGAUCAACAAGACUUCUCCCAAGUCUUCCCAAAGGUUCUACUUGGCACAAACACUAAUUAAACACAUAAAAACACAUGUAAACAUAGGCUAGAUGAAUUAUUUAUUACUAAACAGGAACAAAAAGCAAGGAACAAGAAUAAAGUUGGGUUGCCUCCCAACAAGCGCUAUCGUUUAAUGCCCCUAGCUAGGCAUGAUGAUUUCAAUGAUGCUCACAUAAAGGAUAAGAAUUUUAACAUAAAGAGAGCAUCAUGAACAAUAUGACUAGCACAUUUAAGUCUAACCCACUUCCUAUGCAUAGGUAUUUUGUGAGCAAACAACUUGUGGGAACAAUAAUCAACUAGCAUAGGAAGGUAAAACAAGCAUAACUUCAAAACUUUAAGCACAUAGAGAGGAAAUUUGAUAUUAUUUCAAUUCCUACAAGCAUAUAUUCAUCACUCAUAAUAAUUUUCAGUAGCAUCAUGAAUGAAUUCAACAAUAUAACCAGCACAUAAAGCAUUCUUUUCAUGAUCUACAAGCAUAGAAAAUUUACUACUCUCCACACAAGAAAAAUUCUUCUCAUGAAUAAUAGUGGGAGCAAACUCAACAAAAUAACUAUCAUGUGAUUGAAAAUUAAGAUCAAGAUGACAAGUUUCAUGGUUAUCAUUAUUCUUUAAAGCAUACUUGUCAUUACAAUAAUCAUCAUAGAUAGGAGGCAUGCUUUCAUCAUAAUAAAUUUGCUCAUCAAAACUUGGGGGACAAAAAAUAUCAUCUUCAUCAAACAUAGCUUCCCCAAGCUUGUGGCUUUGCAUAUCAUUAGCAUCAUAGAUAUUCAAGGAAUCCAUACUAACAACAUUGCAAUCAUGCUCAUCAUUCAAAUAUUUAGUGCCAAACAUUUUAUAGAUUUCUUCUUCUAGCACUUGAGCACAAUUAUCCUUUCCAUCAUACUCACGAAAGAUAUUAAAAAGGUGAAGCGUAUGAGACAAACUCAAUUCCAUUUUUUUGUAAUUUUCUUUUAUAAACUAAACUAGUGAUAAAACAAGAAACUAAAAGACUCGAUUGCAAGGUCUAAAGAUAUACCUUCAAGCACUCACCUCCCCGGCAACGGCGCCAGAAAAGAGAUUAGUUGACGGGGUGUUAGUGCCGCUUUCCUCGCCUCCCCGGCAACGGCGCCAGAAAAGAGCUUGAUGUCUACUACACAACCUUCUUCUUGUAGACGUUGUUGGGCCUCCAUGUGCAGAGGUUUGUAGGACAGUAGCAAAAUUUCCUCAAGUGGAUGACCUAAGGUUUAUCAAUCCGUAGGAGGCGUAGGAUGAAGAUGGUCUCUAUCAAGCAACCCUGCAACCAAAUAACAAAGAGUCUCUUGUGUCCCCAACACACCCAAUACAAUGGUAAGUUGUAUAGGUGCACUAGUUCGGCGAAGAGAUGGUGAUACAAGUGGUAUAUGGAUGGUAGAUAAUAGUUUGUAAUCUGAAAAUAUAAAAACAGCAAGGUAACGAAUGAUAAAAGUGAGCGUAAACGGUAGUGCAAUGUGUGGAAAUAAGGCCUAGGGUUCAUACUUUCUCUAGUGUAAGUUCCCUCAACAAUAAUAACCUAAUUGGAUCAUAUAACUAUCCCUCAACAUGCAACAAAGAUUCACUCCAAAGUCACUAAUAGCAGAGAACGAACGAAGAGAUUAUGGUAGGGUACGAAACCACCUCAAAGUUAUUCUUUCCAAUCAAUCCGUUGGGCUAUCCCUAUAAGUGUCACAAACAGCCCUAGAGUUCGUCCUAGAAUAACACCUUAAGACACAAAUCAACCAAAACCCUAAUGUCACCUAGAUACUCCAAUGUCACCUCAAGUAUCUGUGGGUAUGAUUAUACGAUAUGCGUCACACAAUCUCAGAUUCAUCUAUUCAACCAACACAAAGGACCUCAAAGAGUGCCCCAAAGUUCCUACCGGAUAAUCACGAUGAAAACAUGUGCCAACCCCUAUGCAUAAGUUCAUGGGCGGAACCCGCAAGUUGAUCACCAAAACAUACAUCAAGUGAAUCACGUGAUAUCCCAUUGUCACCACAGAUAUCCACGGCAAGACAUACAUCAAGUGUUCUCAAAUCUUUAAUGACUCAAUCCGAUAAGAUUACUUCAAAGGGGAAACUCAAUUCAUUACAAGAGAUAAGAGGGGGAGGAGAAACAUAAGAUCCAACUAUAAUAGCAAAGCUCGCGAUACAUCAAGAUCGUGCCAAAUCAAGAACACGAGAGAGAGAGAGAUCAAACACAUAGCUACUGGUACAUACCCUCAGCCCCGAGGGAGAACUACUCCCUCCUCGUCAUGGAGAGCACCGGGAUGAUGAAGAUGGCCACCUGGGAAGUAGUGCCCCCUCCGGCAGGGUGCCGGAACGGGUCUAGAUUGGUUUUUGGUGGCUACGGAGGCUUCUGGCGGCGGAACUCCUGGUCUAUUCUCUGUUCUGGAAGUUUUAGGGUAUAUGGAGUUAUAUAGGCAGAAGAAGCACGUCAGGGGAGCCACGAGGGUCGGCGCCCCCUACCCUCGUGAGCUCCUCCUUCCUUCCUUGACGUGGGGUCCAAGUCCAUCGGGUGGCUUUCGUUCCAAAAAUAACUUCUCUAGUUGAUUUCGUUCCGUUUUGACUCCGGCUAAUAUUCCUUUUCUUCAAAACACUAAAAUAGGCAUAAAACAGCAAAUCUGGGCUGGGCCUCCGGUUAAUAGGUUAGUCCCAAAAAUAAUAUAAAAGUGGAAAAUAAAGCCUAAUAUUGCCCAAAACAGUAGAUAAUAUAGCAUGGAGCAAUCAAAAAUUAUAGAUACGUUGGAGACGUAUCAAUAGUCUGUUGCAACAAAGAACAAACAACCAAGGAGCAUAUUUGUGUUGGUCCCAGUUUUGUUAUCUUUAGACGCCUUUCCCUAUGUGAGCGCAACAAAUCUAGUCCUGCUCAAACUCUACAGCCUUGUCCCUUCCUUUCCUUUUUGAACUAGUACUUUCGCCCCUUCCUUUCCUCUUUGAACCACAUCCUAGAUUUAUGCGAUACAACUUUCCCCCAUUCCUUUCCUCUUUGAACCACGUCCUAGAUUAAUGCUAUACAACUUUCCCCCUUCAUUUCCUCUUUGAACCUCGUCCUGGAUUCAUGCUAUAUACAACUUUUCCCACUACUUUCCCCCACUCCUUUCCUCUUUGAACCAUGUCCUAGAUUCAUGGUAUACAUGCAGCUAGAGCAAUGCAUGUGGAGUAAGUGAAUUAUACCUUAAGGUUCUUGGGGCGUGGUUCGGUGGGCGACGGGACGGCGGCGAAGAAGAAGGGGUCGGAGGCCCUCCCGCGCCGUCUAUGGGUGGAAAGUGAAUAGCUGCGCCGGUAGUCCCUCGCCGACAGCAACAGUGUUAAGCCUCCUUCCCUUCCCGGCGAUCGGAUCCUGCCGGCUCUUUGAGCAGCAGUGAGGGGAGAGAGAGGCCAACGAAGUCUUGUUUAGAUCUGGAGAGGACGAGAGAGUGUGAAGAGAGCAACUACAAGUGCUGAGGCUCCAGCAUGUAUAUAUAUAAUGGAGAGAGUGUGUGAAGCGUGCAAACCCUAGAAAACAUUUUAACCAGUCAAAGAAUCCUCCCGGCACAAAUUAUGCUCAAGUGUAGUUAUCGAACCCGAGACCUCAAGUUUGAUGAGCGAACAGGCUAACCAGCUACACAACCCUCCCGUUAUGCUCAACGAGAGGGAAAUAACCUUUUAUACAUUCCUGCAUUCGUGUGACAAGCAUGCUAUGUUUUUUUGUGUGUGUGGGAGUCAUUGGGAUUUCAAUCAUAAUCGUGUCAUGUGGCUUUGGUGGUAAGACUAUCCACAGUGGUGCAGAAAUAAUGCAGCCUUAGUCACCUUACCUCUAUCCAUAUAGUACGUUGGGUCCCACCAGUCAGAGGGUGAAACAAACAAAUUAAUAAGAAAAAUUAAAAGCGCCAGCGGUGUAUCUUACCUCACACAUCUCGCUACUGCUCGAGAACACUGUCCAAUUGAUCCCUCUGUUUGCUCACGUACUAUUUUAAGUGAAUCCUUAUUAUAACAUGCACACAAAUUUUGGGCACUUGUAUUCGACUUAAGUCAAUGUUCCACCGUAUCUCGUAUACUUACUACUCCCUAUGUCUAGGUGUAAUAAGUCACGUUAGAAGGUGCAACGGGACCAAGGUGCGUGCGUGUGCGUGUGUGUGUGUGUGUUAACACCAUGUGUGUGUUAGAGAGAGCGACAGAUCGACCUACUCCUACAGAGAGAUGUUGUGUAGUGUACGAUUUUAGCCGCGAGAGUCGGUGCAUCCUCUCGUUUCUGGGCGUUUCCGGUAGGGACAUGCGGACAACUGCCACGCCCGCUCCUGACCAGCCUGGCCCACCCAAAGCCCCUCCAUCGCCCGCACGCGCUUCCCGCCCGAAACGGUCAGCGCUGCUCCAAAGAAUCGGUGCCGCAUUCAUGCCCGGGCAGAGCGGACGCGACCUGUCAUUGGUGCAAGAAUGAUGGUUGCUUCGCCCGUCCAACUUACUGCUCGGUCUAUGCGAUUUGUCGGCUCAUUGGUCUAUGCAAAUAAGUAGAGAAAUAUCCACAGGGAGUGAUGUGGGCAGCUGGAGCAGUGGUGCAAGCCGGCUGUAAAGGGAGUUGUACCUGAGGGACGUAGCUCAACCUUGUGGAGGGCAGCGGGAGGCGGCAACUGCCCACGUCACAGCAGUGAGCAAGGGAUGAAGGCAACCUCACCGGCUUUGUGAGAGAGAACAACGGGGACCCCUGAUCGGGAUGUGCCGACAGUGGAUUUUCACCGUCGGCGACGGCCACCGCAUCUACACUAAGCAUCCACCCCUUCCCCAAGCGGACGUGAUCCACCGGGAUGUUAGAGAUGUGGCCACAGUCAUUUUGUGCGAGAGAGUGUGAAGAUAGCAACCCCAGCAAGCAACCGUGUAGGCUGGCCCAUCCUGACUAUGUAUAGUGGAGCGCUUUCCUUUUCUCUCCAUAUGAACCUAUCAUAUUGCGUACGUGCCACUGAAGAAAAAAAACUUUAUUUAUAGAUGACGCGGCACCUACUACUCGUUCUCCUAUAACCUUGCGCUUGGCAUCUCCAAAAUAUUAACCUUGCGAUUGGCUCUUUGCCUCUUCGGGAAGUCGAGCAAUAAUGGUAGUGCAGUAUAUAUUAUUCUGGCUAUAUGAGACCGAAUGAAUUGUUGCACGUCCACCACGUGGGCGAGGGUCGAGGGGCGAGGGAGAGUGCUACAUAUGGAGCAAAAUGAGUGAAUCUACACUCUAAAAUACGUCUAUAUACAUCAGUGUUUGGAGUAUGUACUAGUAGUUCAUAUUGAAAUCUACUAAAGUACAUAUAUAUUCCAAACAAUAUGAUAUAAUCUCUAUAACCAAGGUAGUAGGGAUGAGGAGUAAACGGAGGGAGUAGUAAAUUUUUCUCCUCGUCCUGCGAGCCACCGCGCGCAUGGGCGAGGGAGCGGGCGUAAGGCGUAGUAAGCAAGCUUCACCUCAUCCUGCGAGCCACCACGCCCGUGGGCAGGGGAGACGACGUACUAAGCAAGCUUCUCCUCGUUCUGCGAGUUGACGGGACACAUCAAAAGUACUCCAGUGUAUAGAGCCUUGCCUCUAAGGUAGGCCCCACAUGGUUUGCCUCUUUUUUUAACAUAACACGUCAAGUCGCAAUUUGUUUGUUCACCUGUGGUAGACGAUCCUCCCUCCACCAAGUGGACAACUAGUACACGUGCCAAAUUACCACGUGGGCUGCCUUUUUCGUACAGAAAUGAGCUCCACCGUGUACCCGCGCGGGUGUGGUUGGGAAAGAGACGGGAGUACGUGCUCCGUGCAUGCACCUCUUCUCUUCGUGCACAUCCCCCACCUACGUGGGUGUGUGUGAGAGAUACAAACCGCGUUCGUGAGUCUUUUUUGUUUUGGGGUGGGGGUGGGGUGGGGGUUGAUUUCAUGAAUUAUUCGUGGGAAUAUGUGUUGAGGACAUCUCAAACAAAAUUUUGCAUGCAAUGUGUGUGAAAUGGAGGCCUAUCCAUAUCAUACAUAGAGGGUCGGGCAAUCCACGAGAAUAGAGGGAGGGGUCAUAGCAAUUGAUAGAGUCGAAGAGAGGAUCAAGCGGGUGGGUGCAAGAUCGAUCAAGAGAGCCAUCGAAAUUGUGUGUGUGCGUACAAGUCAAAGAUAUAGGGCGACUGGCCUACCGGAACGUUAGAGGGCACACGUCAAGUUUGUGUGUGGCAGGGAGACAUGACUAGAGCGCUCGAUGUAUCGGUGUGUGUGGGGGGAGGGGGGUGGUGGGAGGGGUAGGCAGAGGCCUAACUAUAGAGGUAGAACGACUCGUAUAUGUGUUGAGAAGGAGAGACCCAGCUAUGUCUUGAGGGAGAUCAGUCGACAUCCAUACAUAACUGAAGGACGGGAAAUAUUAUGGGAGAGAGAGAGGGAGGGAGAGGGGUAGAGUGCUGGAUGGGUGAUGGAGUUGCUUCUCGAAGAUGGUGGGAGAGGCCUACUAGACAAACUGAGGGUGGAACUGCAAUGUUAUCAAUAAGAGUGGGGAUGUGUUUCUGUGUGUUCCUGUGCGUGAUAGAUCUGUCGGGACGCAUCCAUGGAUGAUGAAGGGGAACCAUGUGUUUGGUAAGCAAACCUAACUAGUCGAUAGAUCAAUUAUUGUUUGUCGGAGGAAGGGAGAGACACAACUAAUGAGGUAGAUCGAUUGACGUGUGGGUAAAAACGAGUUAUAAGGACCUAGCUAGCUAUAUGUAUAGCGAGAGAUCGGUUGGUGUACGUCCAUUUGUUAGAGGCAAAUAAGGCCCAGCGAGAUGGAUAGACAGAGAGAAUGGAGCUAGGAGGUGGUGCGAGAGGCCCAACUACUAGCUAGAUAGGGGGAGGAGUGUGCGGUUGUGAGAGCGAUGAAAAUAAGGGCGGGAGUUUACACGUGUGUCUGACCGUAUGAGAGACACGAGGCAAGGACACAUAAAGGAGGAGAUUGAAGGUGUGUUUGUAUGUAGUAGGCAGGCAUCGCUGGAGAGGUUUAUCGAUCGGUGUGUGUUAGAAAGGAGUUGUGGAGACUCUGGGAGAACGACCUAAAGAAAAAAAAAUGAAUGUGCCCGGUGGAUAGAAUGCCGAGGGAGGGGGAGGGCAAGGAGGGUGUGUGCAUGCAUGAGAGAAAGUUAGUGGUAGCUACAAAGGUUAGAGGAUUGUGUGGGUGUAAGAGACUAACAAAGAUCAUAAUUUGAUAUGAAAGCGGAUUCAUAUAUUUGAAUAGGAGAUCAUAGUGUUUUAAACAUUGCAUGCAUGAAUAUAGCGGUGAUACACGUGUUGUGCACAUGUUAUACCAUAAUGUGAUAAUACAUGGCGUUUGCAACUCACAGCUAAAUGCCGAACAAUCUAAACCAUACUAUACAUCAAACAAUCUCACAUUUUAUUUGAAUUUGUGAUAAUGUGUGGCGUUUGCAGCUUACAACUAAAUAUCGAACAAUCUAAACAAUACUAUAUAUCAAACAUUCUCACAUUUUAUUUGAAUUUGUGGUAAUGUGUGGUGUUUGCAACUCACAUCUAAAUACUGUAGGCGUAGGGGAUGGGGCACCAUACAUAAUGUGAUAAACACAUUAUACAUAUGAGACAUGGUUUAGAUUAUGAAGAUCUAGCUAGAGCUAGAAAUGUAAUGUGAUUUGAAAUCAAAAUAAAGUGGAUUCAAAAAAUCUAGUUCGAGUUCAUAUAGUACACAUAGUUCAUAUGUAACUCGAGACUAAUCAUGUGGUGUACUGUGAAGAUAAUACACAAACGAUAGUUUAACUUGACAAUAAUGAUGAUUGUAGAUCUUAUUAAAACAAAGAAACAAAUUCAAAUACUUUGACUUCACAACAAUCAUUACUGUAGAUCUUAUUCAAAUAGAGAAACGAAUUCAAAUUUAGUCCAUAUUGAAGCGGUAGUAUAUACGUUUGGAAUGCACUAAAACGUUCAUUUGAGUAUUAGGUUGCAUGCAUUAUACAUGUAGCGAAAUAUUUUAAUUGAACAUAACAUGAAUUCAAAGUUUUGAAUGACAUUUGUACACGUUAGGCUUUUCCGGAAAUUUCAACCCGCGCCUUGUUAGCCCGAAAUAUUUAAGAUAUAUCUUUGUCUUGUUGUGCUCCGACAAUUCCCUCCAUCUCAACCCGCGCCUUGCUAUUCCGAAAUUACAACACGCGCGAAAACUGCCACCUCCUGUGAAAUCCCGACACGUGAAAUGCCCAUGGUAGCCCUGAACCGAAAGAACCGCCUCAAAUUGGUGGGGGUACUUUCGUAACUUACCCCACAUUUCGGACAAGCGCGUCUCUAAGCCAUGGUUCCCCACUGCCAUCCCAUCCGCCCACCCAUUCGUACACCGAGGCCGCGAAAACCCGCGACGAAACCCCACACCCUGCUCCGUCUGCCACCCAGCCGGAGCCUCUUCCCCGACGACGUCGUCCACAGCAACACCUCGACGUCCCUCAUCCACCUUACCGGAUGAGGAUCCGUCGUCGAUCUCAUCGUCCCGCUGGUUCAGCCACCCCGUCCUCCACCUCCAUGGAGCUGCCCCGAUGUUCCCCUCGUCUUUCGCGCUACCUCCAUUCCCACACCGCCGUCUUCACCUGCACCACCGGAAGAGCAUCAUCAUCACUGUUUCCUCGGAUGAAGCUGCGGCCUAAUCGGCGCCACCGAAGAGGUUGUACACUAAUCACCGCAUUUUCUUCUUGAUUCGAUCUCACGGUGCUGCCGGCGCUCGGUCCCAAGCCGACAUGGCGCGGCUCCAUCCACGGCAGCGUCGCCGACCACUUCCUCCACGGCGUCGCUCCCUCGGCGGCGACGUCCACAUCAGUAGGACCUGCUGCUGCUUUAGCUCUCGCUCGCGCUAUUGCUCUGCUCUUGCUCUUGGUCCCCUGCCUGGUCUGCUCUUGCUCGCGCUGCUGCUCUCGCUCUUGCUCUUGCUUGCGAUGCUGCUCCGAUUUAGCUACACUUCACUCUGAUGCCGCCGGGGUGAAGGAAGAACCAGCCACAGCUGGGAGGGGGGCUCGCCGAAGAGGUACCCCACUAUCUAUCUUAGGGUUCAGGAUGGGGGCGGUGGUCACCGAUGGUGGCGGGGCGUUGGCGGGACGGUGGCAUGGGGGUCGCCAGNNNNNNNNNNNNNNNNNNNNNNNNNNNNNNNNNNNNNNNNNNNNNNNNNNNNNNNNNNNNNNNNNNNNNNNNNNNNNNNNNNNNNNNNNNNNNNNNNNNNNNNNNNNNNNNNNNNNNNNNNNNNNNNNNNNNNNNNNNNNNNNNNNNNNNNNNNNNNNNNNNNNNNNNNNNNNNNNNNNNNNNNNNNNNNNNNNNNNNNNNNNNNNNNNNNNNNNNNNNNNNNNNNNNNNNNNNNNNNNNNNNNNNNNNNNNNNNNNNNNNNNNNNNNNNNNNNNNNNNNNNNNNNNNNNNNNNNNNNNNNNNNNNNNNNNNNNNNNNNNNNNNNNNNNNNNNNNNNNNNNNNNNNNNNNNNNNNNNNNNNNNNNNNNNNNNNNNNNNNNNNNNNNNNNNNNNNNNNNNNNNNNNNNNNNNNNNNNNNNNNNNNNNNNNNNNNNNNNNNNNNNNNNNNNNNNNNNNNNNNNNNNNNNNNNNNNNNNGGCUAGAGGGUUGGCCGGGGCGGCGGCGGACCGGCGGUGGGGAGUGUUUUCAGGGCGGGCGGGGCGGCGCACCGCCAGCCACAGGCGGCGGGGGGCUGCUGUUUGGCCGGCUCAGGGGAGUGGAGGUUGAAGAUGAACCGCAUGCCCUUGAUUUUGUAUCCAACGGCUGCAAAAUCGACUGACCAGAGAUGAAAAAGUCAGUCGACCGACGUGUAGCCUCACCUUGCUAGCGUGUUCAGUUUCGACAGCAAAAUUCAGUUUCGACAGCAAAAUUCAGUUUCGACAGUUAAGUUCAGUUUCGACAGUUAAGUUCAGUUUCGACAGUUAAAUUCAGUUUCGACAGUUAAGUUCAGAGAUGAGCAGCUGAUGUAUUUUACAUCUAUCACUUUGUGUUUAUGUAUUUUACGUCAUGUAUUGGAGAUGCUAUUAGAAUUCCACUCAGGUUAACGUUGUUCGUUGUCUCUCUUGUCCUGCUUUAGCCUUGGCGUCGUACAACUCACCGGAGCUGCUCCAACGACAAAACCCUCCAUCAUAGCGGAGCAGUACCUCGGGCUCCAUCUCCAGAUGCCUAAGAUCUUCUUCCCCUCCUCCGACAGCCAAGUCAGCCGGAGCAUCCUCACCGGCCAACCCAAUCACGCUGAGAUCGACAUGGCUUCGCCAAAGAGGUUAUACACUUGUUGCAUCUCUUUUUUACUCUACAUGUUAUAUAUAUUGUCCACUAAGCACACGGAUUUGUUCCUUUAGUGUCUCCUUGAAAGAAAAAACGUUGGAAUUUUAAUUUUCACUUGUCCUCCUUUUCAAAUUCCUAUUCAUGAAGCACAAGACUAAGAGAUAGUAGCAUAAUAGCAUUAUAACCGUACAUUUUCUUGUGGUUUGACUUAAUCUCACCAUGCUUCUUUGCAUCCUGUGAUCUUCCAAUUGUUGUGAAUCAAACACCCAGAUUGGCAGAAAUCCUAUGUUUUUAAAUUCUCUGUUUUGCACGUGCAUUCCUAUCCUAUUCCUGUCUAUUUCCUAUCCCUGCAUUGUUGGAAUCCUCCAAUUCAAACGAGCCCUUACAGAAUUACUUCUCUUACAGAUAGUUGUCAAAGAAAACCUUACGUGGUUUGUCCCGCUCCUGCUGCGCCGUCGUCCACCCCAGCUCAGCUGCUCCAACGAUAGAAGGGUCCAGCACAGCAGGGAUCCGGCCUCCAGACUGUCUUUCGCCGCCUCAGAUCUUCUUCCCCGCCGCUGGCAGCCAUGAAAACUGCACUACCAUCAUCAACCGAGCAGAUGACCUCGAGGACUACAUGGGUCCGCAAGAGAGGCCGCACUCUUUCAUGUCUACUUACGUUAUGCAUCGCUUAAUGUUACAUGCUACUUUAUCGUCCUUUUCACCGAUUAGACUCUGAGUCAGCUCCAAACUAAUGGUCAAACUUGAGUUUUUAAAUGGUUGUGGGGUACAUAUCGGGGCCGCUAUCAAUAGUAUCUAUCUACUAUCUGGUUAAUCUCUGGUGUCUACUAUGAGUUUCAUGUUGGGUGGGAAACAAACAGUAAAGAAGCCAUUAUCUGUAUUUUUUAACUGAAGCCAUUAUCUGCCUGCUAUUAUUGGUUUUGGGUCUAUCCACAGGUUGCUACCAUCACUCUGGAUUUCUGCAUGCACUCCUUACAUAAUCUCACUAUGUUUUAUUCCUAUGCAUGAAAAUAAUUGUAAACAAUGGAACUGAACAUGUAGAGCAAAAGAGACGAGCCUUGUGUGGCAAUAAAAUUUCAUGCAGACGUCGCUCCAUGGUAGGCGCAAACGCAGCCCCCCUCCACGCAUUUCGGAUUGUAAUCGAGAGGAAGAUAUCUGUUCUGAGGGGGAUUCAGAAGGAGAAGACAACUUCUAUUUACCCCUUGAGGUCUUCGCUCUAACUUGGCAUGCUGAUGUUGGUUAUAUCAUGCAUAUGGUGUCUUGCAUUGCUUACUUUAUACAUCAAAUAUUUCAUCUGCUUAGUUUAGAUAUCCUUUGUGCGAAUGCCAUCUGUUUAGUUUAUUCAUCGUUUAUGUGAAUUAUGCAACGCCAUCUUGUUUAGCCAGGCAUCAUAUAUGUGAAUUUUCUAAUGUCAUCCUGCUUAGCCAGUCAUCUUAUAUGUAAAUUAUAUCAGGCCAUCCUUUUUUCGUUACAUAUUACAUUUUUCAACAAUGUUAUUACAUUCAACUGCUCUUCGUGUGCAUCAGCCAUUUGACACGGUGAUGGCAAAUUCUGGAGUGAAAACAAGGCCUUCAGAGCAGAGUAAGCUAUCUGACGAAGCGCAUAUCUCGCUGGUUACGGAUAGCUCCUCAGAGGAGGAUUCAGAGACAGAUGACCAGUCCUAUUCCCCCCCUAAGGUGUAUGCUCUAACUUGGUAGGGUUAUGUUGCUCAUAUCGUGUGUAUGGUGUCUCGCAUUGCUAUGUCAUUUGAUUAGUUUAGACAUGCUUUGUGUGAAUGCCACCUGUUUAGUGUCUAAUUACCAUAUAUGUGAAUUAUGCAUUGCCAUCUUGUUGCAAGACAUUAUAUAUGUGAAUUAUACAAUGCUAUCUUGUUGCAAAGGCAUUAUAUAUGUGAAUUAUGCAAUGCCAUGCUGUUUAGCCAAUCAUCAUGUAUGUGAAUUAUAUCAUGCUAUCAUUUUUUUGUAUUACGUGUUCCAUUUGUCGACAACGUUUGUAUAUUCAACUACUCUUCCUGUGCAUCAGCCAUUUGAAGCGGUGAUGGAAGUAUCUGGAGUGAAAACAAGGUAUUCAGAGCAGACAAUGCUACCUGCUGAAACAGACAUCUUGCUGGUUACAGAGAGCUCCUCAAAGGAGGAUUCAGAGACUGAUGACCACUCCUAUUUUCCCCCUGAGGUCUAUGCUCAAACUUGGCAGGGUUAUAUUACCCAUGUCAUGCAUGUUGUCUUGCAUUGCUUAGUUUUUAUAUCAUAUAUGGAUUGCCAUCUGCUUACUUGCUUACUAUAUAAAUCAUAUAUUUGAAUUAUAUCAUGCCAUCAUGUUUACAUAGUACAUACACAUCAUCUAUCUGAAUUAUGGCAUGGCAACCCAUUUAAUAAAGACAUCAUAUAGUUAUAUCAUCUCAUCAUGUUUAGUGUUUACAGUCAUCAUAUUUUGAAUUAUGGCAUUCUAUUCGUGAAUGUAUGUGAAUUAUGGCAUGCCAACCUAUUUAAUAAACACAUUAUAUAGUUAUGUCAUGUCAUCCUGUUUACAUAGUCUCAUAUUUUGAACUAUGCCUUUCCAUCUUUUUUAGUUAGCCAUCAUAAUGUGAAAUUGUGUCAUGCUAUCCUGUUUAGUUAGCCAUCAUAUAUGUGAAAUUGUGUCAUGCUAUCCUGUUUGGUUAGACAACAUAAAUAUGAAUUAUUUCAUGCCCUCUUUUAUUCCCCACUAUCCAUUGCACCUGUCUAUCAUACAAUGUCUAUACUUUCAAUUACUUUUCUUGUUUAUCAGCCAUUUGAAUUGGAGAGCGUGAUGGCAGUAUCUAAGGGAGUAACAACACGGUCUUCAGAAAAGAUAGUGCUACCAGUUGAUGCAGAUAGAACCACGGUUGUACUUGCCCAAGGACCAGAUCCACCACACAUAACCCAGACUCUCGCAGAUUGUACCCCUACCCAGUUGGAUAGAGAACCAGCUACACCCCUUCUAACCCCAACCCCGGCAGAUAGUAACCCAGUUCUAGUUGACACAGCACCGUCUCCACCACAGAGCACCCAAACACGAGCAGUUAGUAAGGGAACUGCGGUGCCCAAAGCACAAGUAGCACCACUCCGAAUCCCAACUCAACGCUUAUAGGAGAAGAAGAUUUGUUCUCAGGUCAGGUUCUGUAGCUAUGGUUCAUACUCCUUUGCUCUUGCAUGACUGUAUUUACUCAUACCAACUAUUUUCAAAUUUGAAGGAUGGAAUUGAAACUCCAAUGGCGCAAUAGGUAUGUUUUAAACCUGUUUCUUUAACUGGUUUGCUGUUGUAACCUGCUCUAUGUUGAUUUCAGUUUAAAUUGAAUAAACAGUUAUGUUCUCAUGUCAUGCACAUUACAAGUGUUGUUAUUGCUCUAUAGUUACCCACACUUAUAUUCUGUCUAUUCUGCUUUGUCUUGAACAAAUAUUAUUUGAACUGUGUCUCUAUCUUGAUUUGGCAACAAAAACUAGAAUGAUAUAGACCAUAAAGUGACCAUGGUACAUAGAUAUAUGUUUGUUUCAUGCUGUUAUCCUGUCCACUUUACUACUGAACUCAUUUACCAAAAUGAGUUUCAUAUACAACAUGGUAAACAUGUGAUGUGUCUGCUUGUUUCUCUUUUAGAAUGCGGACAAAAUAUUGGAGAACAGUGCCGCGUUAUCCAAUGGUAAAGGAAGUAAUGCAGAUAAGGUUCAAGAUAGUGAGACAUCCCUGUUGGUCUCCAAGAAAGCUGAUAAAACUAUCUUGACGACAGUGAGGGAACCCAAAAGUCAUGUCUUGAUGUAGUGUUUGAGUUACUAGCCAGUACUGCUGGCACAAGCUCUUCGAACUCGCUGCCUGAAUCAGUUCGUCUUCUUGAGUCUCAACUUCAAGUUGAAAGACAUCGAUCAGAUGUGCUGCGACAGGAAGCAGAAUUCAGAUGCAUAUUUUCUGGUGCAACAACAAGCGCUGGAGGAUUUAAGCGCCAAACAAGAGAAAGUUAAUAAGCUUGCUAAGCAUCUUGCCAGCAUUAUGGGUACCCAGGAUAUUGUUUCUUCAGAUCUUCUGAAGUGGUUUCAGUUCUGGAUUUGUUCUGCUGCGGUGUUUAUUUGCGCUGGUCGCCAACUUUGACAACCAGUGUAUAUGAUAUGCUGCUUUGUUCCCUAUAUUUGCACUAGUGGCGAACUUUGAUGCCUAGUGGAUGUAAUAUGUGUAAUAGCUGUGAUAGCCUAGCGUUAGUUGCUUGCUUAUUUAUUUCCUUGUUGUCUUGUUUAUUUGUUUGCUUGUAGUCAUUGCAGUUCUUUUUCCGCGGUUAGCUAGUGGCUGCAAUAACCUAUUUUUUAAACUAGGCCACAAUAACCAUGGGCUAAUAUUUACUGUAGUGACACUGGGCCUCCUACUGGCCGUAGAAAUAGUGGGCCUUCUACGGGCCGUAGAAACAAUGGGCCUUCUGCGGGCCAUAUUAUCAAUGGGCCUUAUAUGGGCCGUAUAAUCGAUUGGCCAAACAUGGGCCAAACAGACCGCAUUAUGGCCGUAAAUGGGCUAGAGUUGGAAUCGUCCGUUCAUGGGCCGACCAUAAUGGGCCAUCGUUAAUAGGCCGUAUCUGAUGACGCUAUGAAAUCGUCCCAACGUAUUAACGGACCACAAACGGGCCGACUGUAACCACGGGAUGAAUUUGGCCCACAAGCAGAAAAUGACAGUAAUGGGCCGUAAGUAAACGAAUGUUGGAAAUGAGCCCAAGAAUAAAUGAGUUGUGAGAAGUUCGAAAGAUAACAUGGGCUGGAAACGGCCCAAUGGAAUAACGGGCCAUUAAUGGGUAUAAAGUGAUACAUUGUUCAUUACGGGCCAGUUUCACCACGUGCCAUUAAUGGGUGUAAAGUGAUACACUGUUCAUUACGGGCCAGUUUCACCACGGGCCGUUAGUAGGCCAAGAGUUACAUAGGGCCUCAUAUGGGCCGAAAGACGUCAUGGGCCAUACAUGGGCCAGAAGUGAAAAUGGGCUGGAAUCAUAUUGGAUGGCCCAGAUGACGCUACUAGGCCUAAUUCGGAUAGGGCGUAACGGGCCUUGGGUUAGCGGGCUGUAAAUGGGCUAUAUUAGAACAUGCCGUUAACAGGCUUUGCAUGGGCUGGCCCGCCAGCUUUUGACCAAGUCAAAUAGGUCGGCCUUUUCACAGGAAUGGGCCUCUAUUGGGCCGUGCCACGUGUCGACGUAUCAUAGGCGCCUUCCGUCCAAUGAGUGGUUGACAUCUGUCCCAACGAUGAGCCGACACGUGUUUCCUCCAGCCAAUGAUGAUUUUACACGAGGAAAAUCCCCAUUGGUCGGGGUUGUUAACGGGUUAUCGGAUCCAAAACCCGACCCGAUAGCUUAACGACGUUCCGUUACGGUGGAUGCCACGUGUCGGUCACCCUUGACGAAAGCACUUCUAUGACGCGUGAUUUAUCGUCCGUGAUGAUAAUUUUGGUAAUGUCAUGGAACACUUCUACGACAGCACAGGUAUGACUAUCUUGAUUCUAUCAUAAAUUUGUCAUGGAUGUACAUGCAUGACAGAAAACGCGACCUACUGUGACAAACACGUAUCAUCACAAAAGUGUAUUUUUUUUGUAGUGAAGCCAAGUUCUAUAAUGAAAAUUUCCCACUAGUAUAUGAAAGUGACAACAUAAGAGACUCUCUAUUAUGAAGAUCUUCGUGCUACUUUGAAGCACAAGUGUGGUAAAAGGAUAGUAACAUUGUCCCUUCUCUCUUUUUCUCUCAUUUUUUUAUUUGGGCCUUUUUUAUGGCCUCUUUUUUUUGUCCGGAGUCUCAUCUCGACUUGUGGGGGAAUCAUAGUCUCCAUCAUCCUUUCCUCACUGGGACAAUGCUCUAAUAAUGAUGAUCAUCACACUUUUAUUUACUUACAACUCAAGAAUUACAACUCGAUACUUAGAACAAGAUAUGACUCUAUAUGAAUGCCUCCGGCGGUGUACCGGGAUGUGCAAUGACUCAUGAGUGACAUGUAUGAAAGAAUUAUGAAUGGUGGCUUUGCCACAAAUACGAUGUCAACUACAUGAUCAUGCAUAGCAAUAUGACAAUGAUGGAGCGUGUCAUAAUAAACGAAAUGGUGGAAAGUUGCAUGGCAAUAUAUCUCGGAAUGGCUAUGGAAAUGCCAUAAUAGGUAGAUAUGGUGGCUGUUUUGAGGAAGGUAAUGGUGGGUGAUAUGGCACUGGCGAAAAUUGCACGACACAAGAGAGGCUAGCAAUGGUGGAAGGGUGAGAGUGCGUAUAAUCCAUGGACUCAACAUUAGUCAUAAAGAACUCACAUACUUAUUGAAAAAAUCUAUUAGUUAUCGAAACAAAGUACUACGCGUAUGCUCCUAGGGGGAUAGAUUGGUAGGAAAAGACCAUCGCUCAUCCCCGACCGCCACUCAUAAGGAAGACAAUCAAUAAAUACAUCAUGCUCCGACUUCAUCACAUAACGGUUCACCAUACGUGCAUGCUACGGGAAUCACAAAAUUUAACACAAGUAUCUCUCAAAUUCACAACUACUCACUAGCAUGACUCUAAUGUUGCCAUCUCCAUGUCUCAAAACAAUCAUCAAGUAUCAAACUUCUCAUAGUAUUCAAUGCACUUUAUAUGAAAGUUUUUAUUAUAUCCCUCUUGGAUGCCCAUCAUAUUAGGACUAGUUUCAUAACCAAAGCAAACUACCAUGCUGUUAUAAAGACUCUCAAAAUGAUAUAAGUGAAGCAUGAGAGUUCAUUAAUUUCUAUAAAAUAAAACCACCACCGUGCUAUAAAAAGAUAUAAGUGAAGCACUAGAGCAACAACAAACUACUCCGAAAGGUAUAAGUGAAGAUCAAUGAGUAGUCGAAUAAUUAUGUAACUAUAUGAGGACUCUCUAACAUUUAAGAAUUUCAGAUCUUGGUAUUUUAUUCAAGCAUCACGCAAAACUAAAUAAAAUAAAAUGACGCUCCAAGCAAAACACAUAUCAUGUGGUAAAUAAGAAUUAUAGCUCCAAGUAAAGUUACCGAUGAACGAAGACGAAAGAGGGGAUGCCUUCCGGGGCAUCCCCAAGCUUAGGCUUUUGGUUGUCCUUGAAUAUUACCUUGGGGUGCCUUUGGCAUCCCCAAGCUUAGGCUCUUGCCACUCCUUAUUCCAUAGUCCAUCGAAUCUUUACCCAAAACUUGAAAACUUCACAACACAAAACUUAACAGAAAACUCGUAAGCUCUGUUAGUAUAAGAAAAUAAAUCACCACUUAGGUACUGUUUUGAACUCAUUAUAAAUUCAUAUUUGUGUAAUAUCUACUGUAUUCCAAGUUAUCUAUGGUUCAUACCCUCCAAUACUACUCAUAGAUUCAUCAAAAUAAGCAAACAACACAAUAAAAACAGAAUCUGUCAAAAACAGAACAGUCUGUAGUAAUCUGGAUCAAACGUAUACUUCUGGAACCCCAAAAAUUCUAAAAUAAAUUGCUGGACCUGAGGAAUUUAUCUAUUAAUCAUAUUCAAAAAUAAUUAACUAAAUAGCACUCUCCAGUAAAAAAUGGCAGCAAAUCUCGUGAGCACUAAAGUUUCUGUUUUUUACAGCAAGAUCGCAAAGACUUUCCCCAAGUCUUUCCAAAGGUUCUACUUGGCACAAACACUAAUUAAAAUCAUAAAACCACAUAUAAACAGAGGCUAGAUUAAUUAAUUAUUGCUGAACAGGAGCAAAAAGCAAGGAACAAAAAUAAAAA
RNAcentral lists this long non-coding RNA (55921 nucleotides) under Triticum aestivum (bread wheat). Its description in RNAcentral is "long non-coding RNA (TAES_LNC015200)". The record is from RNAcentral. Lineage: Eukaryota; Viridiplantae; Streptophyta; Magnoliopsida; Poales; Poaceae.